RNAcentral lists this long non-coding RNA (63320 nucleotides) under Malus domestica (apple). RNAcentral describes it as "long non-coding RNA (MDOM_LNC020716)". The stretch from base 10267 to 10371 matches the Rfam family "Plant small nucleolar RNA R71". Lineage: Eukaryota; Viridiplantae; Streptophyta; Magnoliopsida; Rosales; Rosaceae. The record is from RNAcentral.
UGUGUUGAUUUGUGAGUUUUGUCAAAAUUAAUCAUGCAAGUGUAUGUGAAAGGAUAAGUUUAUGAAAUAAUUCAAUCACAAUUAUUUCAAUCAUCAUUUAUACAAAUAUCUAACACUUUAAAUACAUGAUAAAUCAUUUAAAAACAUAUCACAUAAACUUUAUGAAAUAAUUCAAAACUUUGAAUCAAAACACCAAACCUUUUUGUUCUUGGCAAGAACAUCAAGAACAAUGAAGAACAUCCAUGAAAAACCCAAAUUUUUCCAUGAACCUUUUUCACCCAAAAACAUUCCAAAACCAUUCUUACUUAAGGGAAAUAACAUCUAACCAAACUAGGGUACUUAGGGGUUCCAAAGAACACAUUAAAACACUUUUAACAAGUCGACAAGAACCCAAAAAUUCACCCUUUGGAUUUGGCCGAAUUUUCCCAAAAGCAUGGCACCAAAUUUUAGCUCCAAUAUUCAUGCUCAUAUGAACAACAUCUACAACAUUUGAGAUAGCAAAUUUUCCAACAAAAUUUACUUUCAAAGAAGCAAGAAUAAAGCUUGUAACAAUUACAACUUUUAGAUCACAUACUAUGAACUACAAAACCCAAAAGGAUUCACCAACUACUAGACCUAGGCUCUGAUACCACUUGAAGGAAUUAUUUUGUGAAAACAUGUUCAUUUGAGCAACAUCAUAUAGCAUGCAAUUAACAAUUAAAGGCGGAAUCAUGCUUGUAUGCACUCAAAAACAAAACAUUACCAUGAAAUUCAAAGCCUAGUAGAUUGGUGAACCAAUUAAUCAACUCAAAACAAAGUGAGUUGAAAUUAAUACCUUUGUAGAUUCCUCUUUGCAUAAGCAAAGGCUAAUCACCCAAAGAGAUAGGGCCUUCAUUCCUUGCUUCUUAGAUCCAUGGAUUUGGAUGGAAGAAUAGGUUCUCCAAGUUCCCAAAAUUGAGAACCUCUAAGUCUCUUCACCAAGGUUAGAUUGUAGAAGAAAUGAGUGACCUUGGAGUAGUAGGAUUGCUAGAUGUACCCUCCAAGGUGUUGGCCUCUUUAGAGAGAAAAAUGGAGAGACAAUUCUCACCAAUUUUCCCCAAAAUAAACCCUUUUAACACUUAAUGAAUAUUAGUUAUAAAGUCAUUUAUAUAGUCACUUCUUUAAGUGACCUAAACAACCAAAACCCUAAUUCAUUCCAUAUGGCCGGCCAUUUAGGGAUUUUAGGGCUUUUGGGCUUUAAUGAAUCUUUAUUCAUUAAAUUGUCAUACAACUUAAGUUAAUGGGCUUGACGUUCGAAGCCCAUUGGGCCUUAAGGUCCAAAACUAUCCCGAAGUCUUUAACGAACUUAUUCGUUUGAUUAAUUAACAUAUUAAUUAAUCCUUGCCAUAAAUAAAUGAUUAAACCAUUUAAUCAUUCUUACUCAUUUCCGUUUAAUCUUCAAUCUCUACCUUUUAUGGUGUGCGAUCCAUUAGGUUCCUUUUAGCGAGGUAGUGGGCGAUUAAAACCAUUUUACAUCGAUUGUGAAUUGAAACUAUUUUCAAUUCUCCCUUUAGUGAUUACACACGUUUAGGGCUUCCACAAACCAUGAGUGACACCUAGCAGCAUAUCAUGGUUACCCAAGCUAAUCAGAAGAGGUGGAGAACCUAUUCAGUUCGAGAUUACAAAUGCAAUACGGUCCUUCUCUAAUCUAAUACUCUUGACCACAUUGUUUGGUUUGAUAGUUUAUUUUCUCAUGUCUACUAUCCAAUGUGUGUCUUGUGCUUAUAUGAUUACCUUGAAUGUGAUUAGGAACGCAUUCCCAAAUCUCAUUCAUACUCUGGCCAGAGAUUCAAAUCAUAUCAUAGAGUAUUCUCCCUCAAACGGUUUGAAGGUUAGAGAUCCCUUGUUGCGCAUUCACUUGUCUCCAUAGCUAAGCGGCUUGACCCCAACGAUGCCGUGGACACCCUCCUGAUGGAGUGACUUUGACAUAAUCAAAGAUCAAGGACUUAACCACAAGACAACUAUGAUGCCUCAGGUCAAAGGACUACUUUGCAUUAUCCCAACCAUGAGUUCUCAUGUGACAUGGAAUAUGAGAACCCUUCGUUGAUCGCGUUCAGUGAACUCAUUCUCUAUUGAGCACCUACCGUACUUGUCUUGAUGUCACACACACCAAUGACUCGAGACUAAUCACUCUCCCUGAGAGAAGACAUAGUACGUACUGAUCUUAACGGACUGUCAACGCCCAAUUGGCAAUCCUAUGAUCAGGAACGUUUAGGAUGUGUCUACGAAAGAAUGGUCUCAUGAAUCUAACUUCAUUAGAUUACAUUCUCCCAAUCACAUAUUCCUUGGACUUUAUCGUUUAAGCAUAUAACAUUUAUAUGAGACGGCUCAAACAAUAAUCUUUGCCCUUUAUAUGUAAAACUAGAUUAGUUUAACAUGUGAAAUGUCCGUAAAGUAUCAUCACAUGAUUGGCUUUAGGGCACAUUUCCAACAGUGACUUUGACAUAAUCAAAGAUCAAGGACUUAACCACACGACAAACGUGAUGCCUCAGGUCAAAGGACUACUUUGCAUUAUCCCAACCAUGAGUUCUCAUGUGACAUGAAUAUGAGAACUCUUCGUUGAUCGUGUUCAGUGAACUUAUUCUCUAUUGAGCACCUACAUACUUGUCUUGAUGUCACACACACCAAUGACUCGAGACUAAUCACUCUCCCUGAGAGAAAACACAGCACGUACUGAUCUUAACGGACUGUCAAUGCCCAAUUGGCAAUCCUAUGAUCAGGAACGUUUAGGAUGUGUCUACGAAAGAAUGGUCUCAUGAAUCUAACUUCUUUAGAUCGCAUUCUCCCAAUCACAUAUUCCUUGGACUUAUCGUUUAAGCAUAUAAUAUUUAUAUGAGACGGCUUAAAACAAUAAUCUUUGCCCUUGAUAUUAAACUAGAUUAGUUUAACAUGUGAAAUGUCCGUAAAGUAUCAUCAUAUUAUUGGUUUUAGGGCACAUUUCCAACAAUGAUUUGGUACUUGAUUACUUGAUUUUAUGACACGUAAUUUAGUAUUGUCAAUUACUAUAAUAAGGUUAUGUACCUAUUGAGCUUUUAAAGCUCACCCCUCUAUUGUUAUGUAGGUUUAAGAACUUGAAAUUGGUACCAGGUGAAAUACCCUACAACAAAAACUUAGAACCAACCGUACUAAUUAGCCAAACAUAAUAGUCAACUGAGUAUAGAUUAUUAGAAUCAUAUAAGCAUAUAAAUUAAACAAACUUAAAAGGAAAAACUUAACAAUGUGAACUUCAGUUAAGUUUUAAUCUUAGUACUUGACUUAAGUUCAGUUGAUUAAUAAAUUGUCAAUACUAGCUGAUAGGGAUUUUACUACACACGUAAAUAGGCUAAAAACUCCUAUAAUACUUGCAAGAAUGACAAGGUUAUUGUAGUAUAAACGGAUCUAGCAAGGUCGUUCUCCACAGGGAUUAUUAAAUAAUUUGAAACAAACCAAAUUCCAAUUAAUUAUUGUAAAGUAGAAAUUGAGAUGAUUGAUUUUAUAACCUACUUAAAUUAAAAACAAAUUUAAUUAAUAACAGUAAACUAAUCUGCAAUAUUACAAAUGAAAGAAAAGGAAAAGUUUUGGAGAAAUCAAAUUAAGAAAACACUAGGGUUCCACCAUCACCUAGCAAUCCUAUGAACUUUAACCAAUUACUUAUGAUCUACACAUGCCACUUUGAAGGCUAGAUUUUCCUAAUUCAUAUUCUACUUGGAACCUCCAACAUAGAACGUAUAUCUAACAAGCAACCCGUCCGGACGUUCAGAUCAAAUCUGAACAAGAAAUACUCAUUAUGCUUUAUGAAAACCCGUUGAAAAAUGAUGCAACCCUUAAGACGUGGUGUUCAUCCUAAGUGAAAUUACAAUUAUUAAUCACAAGAAGCCAACGUCAAUUUCAGGGAACCUUCCGACCAAAAUUGCAUCAAAUUACUUUUCUAAAGAUCCUAAUAGUGAUCAGGCAUUAAGACAAUUAGAUAGUUUUAAUCCCGGUGAUUAAUAAUUCAAAGUAUGCAUGCAAUCAAUCAUAAGCAAUUAAAUAAAAAUCACAUAUUCAUGCUAAGGCUCAAGGCUUCGCCCUAGCAAAAGGAAUUAGUUAUGCAUAUUCAUAAUUAAAAUCAUAAAAAAUAUUAUUAAUAAAAGAAUUGAAAACACCUUAAAGUAGAAAAUCUCCAAGAACCCUAGCAAUUCUCUCUGUCUCCAAAGUUGCAUAAAAGAAAGCGUAGCCAGAAAAACUCUGGACGGCAAAGUAAUAUAUGUUGCUAUCCCCCGCAAAAACCCUAAAAACCAUGUCCUUUAUUCCAACUAGGAAACUAAGAUAACUAAAAUAAAAUAGGAAGCAUAACCCUAAAUUAAAUGGUAAAAUUCGCCUAUAAUAUGAACAACCAUGUUUUGGACCCUUAAGCUGCUCCAAAACUGGCCCAAUAUAGCUGGUUUUGAUGAUUGAAAUAUUCUGAACACCUCUCCAGAAGGCCACGAACCCAUCCGAGGUCCUCUCGGACUCCGAAAAAACAAUUUAAGCCCAGAAUCGUCAUUUUCCGGCACUGCACACUGCUUCUUUAUUCCAUCGUCGGAAAAUAACCGCUUGGUAGAAAAAUCCCAAAUUUUGAUACAAACACACCAAGAGACAGCCAAACGUCCUCCAAUUUGAAUCACUCCAAAAUUCGUUUGUUUGAUCAUGUUUUUCUCCAGAGGAAGUCGGAUGUCCUAUAUUGAGAAUAUAAAUCAAAGUAUCAAAAUUUUUCCAAAAUAUUAACCAAAAUAUACUAAGAAUAGGGUAAAAUAUAUAAUAUGAAAUUGAUUCAUCAAAAUACCCCCAAACUUAGCUUUUUGCUUGUCCUCAAGCAAAACAAAUCUAGAAAACAAAAAUAAAAACUAACAAACUAGACACUUAACUAAAACUAACUGACAAAAAAUUUCACCUUCAAAGUUGCAAUACAUAGAACAUAUUAAAAAUCAGAACAUUUUUUCAAAAGUUCCAACCAAUCCCACCAUAGAGUCUAAGCAAUUUAGAAUCAAUUAGAAAAGAAUUCACAAACUUCCUCUGGUGUAAAGUGAACCAGCAUAGCUAAGGAUACUCGACUAAAACUCUUACCUCUCGUCCUUCUUUAUUUCACACAUACUAACUUUAAACAUAGCUAUUUUUUUUUUCAUUUUCGACUUUUUCUCUUUUUUUCAUAUAUAUAUUUUUUUUUUCAGUAACAGUAGUGGUCGUGCAAUGUCAAUUCUCUUAAGUUUUCAAUCCAACCCAUGUAGUGAGCUUUAGGUCAAUGACUCCCAAACCACUAGGGCUUUAGGGCACUAGGUGUAGAACACCCCUAAGCACUUAUUAACCUACACUGAAAAGGCUACGAAACCAACUAACCAUCCUACCCCAUGCCAAAACUCUACCGUUUGAUGCGAGAAUCACUGCUGAUUAGGUAGGACUGGCCCGGUUACUAGGCAAAGUCUCCGGUGGAACACUUAUUACUUUAUAACACAAACUAAUUUAACUUUAUUUAAAACAAAAAUUAAAAAUGAAACUUAGACUAAAAGUAAGUGUUUCAAUCUCACUCCCCACAAACCAUGUUGAUGUGAAUGUGCAAAUUGUCAAAGUAUAAUAUAUGAAUUAGUGUCUAAGCAACGAUAAAUAGAAAAGACUCUAAUGUGGGAUUAACCUUCACCAUGUCCAUUUGUUCUAACGUUUAAAAUAUUAUAUGGAUAUUAACUUAAGAAGAAUGAAAAUUUUAACCUGACCCAAAUUUUAACUUUCUCCUCUAGGUGUAGAAACAAAAAGAAAAACGAAAUGAACAAUAGAAUAAAACACAAAAACCCCAACUGACACUACAAAUAAAUGACAAAACUAUAAAAAGAAAAUAAAAUGAAAGAAAAUAUAAAACAAAACGAAAUUAAAGGAGAGAAAAAACUACUGGGCACACAUACAUGGCAUAUUGAAUAGCCAUGGGGUUUGAACCCCACCCUCAAAACAAAGGCCCAAGAAACAAUAGCCCAUCAUGGUAAUGAGAUGCAGCUGGCAUGCCAUGUUUAAAAUAGUGGUUGUUGAACCCUAAAGACGUUGAGUGUCUGUAAUGCCUCAAGGACCCUAGUUGCCUAAAGACCAACAUUGGAUUCCCUACAUGUGCCCUUGAGCCCAGAGCCAAACAGCUCUCUGUCCCUCCAUUUUCAAAACUCCUUUUCUGACAUACAUGAAAGACACACGAUGAAAACACGUGUCACACAUUCGUGGGGUAACUCUUUUGGAUUCCCAUAACACAUGCAUCUCAGACAAAUAUUUUCAUUUCAGAUUAUUUUGUGAGAAAUCCUAAGCUUCUCUCUCAAUCCAAGCGCACCUCCAUAUCAAAAAUAGCUCUCCCAUUUUUCUCAUCUCGUUCUCUCUUUCCAAGCCCACCUCAUUCUCAGCAAAAACCCAAAACAAUCAACUCUUGCCAUGGAAAUAAUGGUACAUUGAAACUCCACAUGCCCUUCAAAGGUAAUCAUCGCCCCUGUUUUGCUCAAUUUAUAUGUCCAGCUAAUGACGAAUGCAUGCUGAUCUAAUUCCUUUACGAGGAUGUUCAAGUGCACAACGAAAAGGGUCACACUAGUACCAAAAAACAGGUAAAUCCAACGUCGAUCGUCCAAAUAUCAUCUAUCUGCAGGUACAACUUAGUCACCCAGCCUUUGUUUAUUUUGUGUUCUUAGUACCUGGUUGAGCACCAUGAUUUUGUGACAGAUCCAUGUUGGUGUGUUGCGGAUAUAGUUGGUAUGCAUUGGUCCAUGAUCGAGAAGCUUCACAACAGCAAGGAAAAUGAGCACCGGCUACUACAUUGCAGAUCCGGGUCUUGCAAAGGUAAAAUCUUGUUCUUCGUUGUCGAUGAACCCUAAUCUGUGAGAAAGUUGCGUCAUUACAUCUAGAUGUAGUUAUACUGGUGUGGUAUUUGUGUAGAACAGUCGGAUCCAUGACAAAUCCGAGAGAAGGAAUGCUCAAACCGGAGAUCCACUGGAUAAAAGGCAUGACACAUCUUGAAAGUCUUGAUCUGUCGAUUAUGAAGGUAUUAACUCAUCCCUAGAUAAUAAAAGUUAUAAUGUCAGCAGGCUUUCUAUUGUGAGUUGUGUAGGAUGGCAAGCUAGCCUAAGGGCAAAGGAAAAAGACAUGACAACUCGGACAUCACAAAUCCGCCUCCCAUCCAAAGGUAAAACUAAUCCUGGGUUGUGUUUUAUGUCCCUACAUGGUUUCAUUUUAGUGUUCUUUGUGCAGGAUAGGCAGAUACAUAAUAAAUCCAAGGGAAAGAAAAGGAAUACACCCGCUACAGUGAACAAGAACAAUAAAAGCGUCAAAGAAGCCUGAUCGAUGCAUAUGGGAGGUAAAAUUUGAAUUCCUGCAAGUGUAAUUGUUGUAGAUUAGGUAAUAAAAGUUGUGGUGUAUGGACAUGUGAUUUAACUGUGCUGUGCAUCCAUGCAUCGUAAAACUAAGUUGUAGAAAAUAACUUCUCUAAAUUUAUGCCAUGAAACUGUAUUUGCAAGAAUCACUCCCAAACUUGCAUCUGUGAAUGACAUCAUGUUAAUUACUUUAAAUUUCAGCAUAGGAUAGAUGUGGUGGAUGUUAAUGUAGACUUGUUGUUGGGUACAUGAUUCCAGUAUAAGAUGUUCUACCUUUGUUUUCCUUCCUGCAACCUACAAUUAACCAAUAUGGGAUAAUUAAAAACAGAGCUAAAAUCAACUGCGUAAAUUAAGAAAAGAACACAUCUUUGGAUUUUUCACUUUUUUUUUUGUUUUUGUUUUGUUUUGUUUUGUUUUGUAUGUAUUUGCUUAUAGAAAUUUAAACUAAUAGAAAAAUGAAAAAUCAAACGAAAAGUAAAAUAAGGAAAGAGUUUAGAAAAAUUGGGUUGCCUCCCAAUAAGUGCUUUAUUUUAAGUUUGUAGCUAGACGUGGCAGAGGUUCGGUGGCUAGAUCACUGGUUCCUUCAGAGUCAAAGACUCACGUGCACUAAACUUCCUUAGGAAUGACUUUAGUAGAUACUUCUUGACCUUGAGCACACAACCCCUGCCCUCUGGUUCAAUGUCCAUGUUACUGUUUUGAAAAACUUGCUUAAGCAUAUAAAGUCAUUUCCACCGAGAUUCUUGUCUCCCUGGAAUUAACUUGAAACUGGAAUUUAAAAACCACACCUUCCUAUCAGGCUGUAUUUUCUUAAAAUUUGGGCUGCUUGGCAAAUUUUCAUGUUUUUUCUUAAUGUUAAUCAGUUGGUCAUUAUGUAGCACCAUUUGUUGCUGUGGUUUAGGACUUAUGCAAUCACGAGUCAAAUUCGAAGGCUUUAUGGACAUAUGGUUAGUUGAUGAUCUGCUUAUAAAUUUGGCCCUAGGUAAACCAUCUAAUGCAUUAACACGCAUGCAUUCUUGCUCAUCACCUGGAUGCAUGGUGGCUUCAAACAACCUAAAAACAACCAUUUGAUCUUCAACCCGGAAUGUUAGAGUUCCGGCUUCAACAUCAAUAAGAGUAUGGGCUAUUGCUAGAAAUGGGCGGCCCAAAAUGAUGGGUAUUGUCAAAUCCUCAUCCGUGUCCAACACCAUAAAAUCAGCUAGUAAAUAUAAAUUGUCAACCUUCACAAUAACAUCUUCAAGGACUCUUCUAGGGUAGGUAAUUGAACGGUUAGCUAAUUGAAUAAUGUUGGAGGUUGGUUUUAGCUCACCUUCACCUAAACGUUUAAAAAUAGAAUAAGGCAUUAAGUUUACACUAGCACCUAAAUCAAUUAAAGCAGUACUGAAAUCCCAAUUUCCAAUGGUGCAAGAGAUAGUAAAACUCCCUGGAUCUUUCUUCUUUGGUGGCAAUUGUUGCAAGAAGACAGCACUGCACUAUUCCGUUAGAAUCAUUUUUUUAGAAUCCACAAACUUCUUUUUCUUUGUGCAAACGUCCUUAAAAAACUUGGCAUAAGAUGUAAUGUUCUUGAUUGCAUCAAUUAAUGGAAGAUUAAUUUGAACUUUAGCUAAAGUUUUCAUUAAAUUUGCCAACUGUUGAUCUUUAGCUUUGGGUUUCAACCUUUCGGGAAAAGGCAUUGGAGGCAUAUAAACACUACCACAUCCUGGCCCAGGCUCUCACCACAUUCUGGGCUCGACUUCGCCGUAGCACGAUAUUAUCUGUUUUGGGCCCCGACCACGCCCUCACGGUUUUGUUUCUGGGAACUCAAUUGAGAACUUCCCAGUGGGUCACCCAUCAUGGGAUUGCUCUCACGUGAACUCGCUUAACUUCAGAGUUCCGAUGGAACCCGAAGCCAAGGAGCUCACAAAAGGCCUCAUGCUAGGUAAAGAUGGGAAUAUACAUAUAAGGCUUACUGGAUCCACUCCCCUGGGCGAUGGGGGAUGUUACAAACACGUUAUGCAAUUUUUAUGGCAGCUUCUGCAGUAUUUUCGGGUCUGUCUUGUGGCUGCCCAGAAUAUGUAAAAAUAUUAGAUUUUGCAAAAUUUCCCAAAUCUAUUUGUGGUUGUGGUGCCGCCCGUAAAUUUCCAGUGCAAUUUUCAUGUAUGUUGUCAUAACUUUUGACAGAUCGUAAAGUCCAUACAGCAUUGCAUUCUUCUCGUCGUCUUGGAUUAAGUACUGUUUGACUAGGAAAUAAGCCUGGCGGUCUUUCUGAAACCUGCAACGCAAUCUGCCCAAUUUGUUUUUCCAUGUUUUUCAUUGCUGCCUGUAUCUUUUGGAUUUCUUGACUAGUAGUAUUUGCUAAUUUUUGGAUUGCAACCUUCCAAGCAGCCUUAGGUGCUAUAGGUUGUUGUACCUGCUGUUGAAAUUGUGACCUGGGAUGCUGUUCUUUGUCCCACUUUAAAUUAGGAUGAUCUCUCCAACCCGGGUUAUAGAAAUUUGAAUACGGGUCAUAUUGGGGACGCUGAAAAUUAUUAAAUGCAUUAACCUGCUCUACUGUAAACUCCGAAAAAGCAUCUUUAUGUGGACAACUCAUAAAAUCAUGAGUUGUCAUGCUGCAAAUGUUGCAAACAACUUGUAAUGGAUGCGGUACAACAAUCUGUGAACUUGGAAUUCUUUGUAAUAACAUGUCAAAUUUUGCAUCAUGCCUUUUAUCCAUUUUUUCAAUUUGUUCUAUAACAUAAGGAGAGCCAUUAGACAUCUAAAAAACAGACCUAGAUUGCAGCUGCUCAACUGCCUACUGUUGUGUAUCUACUGCCAUUUUUUCAAAUAACAAGCAAGCUUCUUAUGCAUUUUUAUCUUUGUAUGAAACACCGCAUGAACCAUUGACAAUAGUUUUUGUACUCAUAUUUAACCCUCUGAAAAAUAUAUGCAUCUGAUUAGUACUGUUAAUACCGGAAUGUGGACAUUUUCUAAUCAACACUUUGAACUGCUCCCACGCCUCAUGAAACUCUUCAUUUGGAUUUUGUGCAAAAGAUAAAAUCUGAGUUCUCAUGUCAAGAGUCUUUGAAGCUGGAUAAUACUUGCUUAAAAAAAUUUCACUGAGUUGAACCUAAGUACUAUUGCUUCCAGAUGGAAGUGUGAGGUGCCACCUCCGUGCUUGAUCUUUCAGAGUGUAUAGAAAUAAAUGAAGCUUAAUAGAUUCGGCUGAAAAUCCUCUCACCAAAAUAUUCUUACAUCCCACUAAAAAUUUUGCAAUGUGCAUAUUAGGAUUGUCGACUGAGAACCCAUGAAAUGUAGGAAGAAUAUUCAACAUGUGCUGCUUUAUUUCAAAUAUAGACCCUUCCUCCAAAUCCGGAUAAGUAAUGCAACUUGGUAUGUUAGUGGCAUGAGCUGUUAAAGAAUCACCCAAGGGCUGACCCGCCUUUGGAAUAACAAAAGCCAUUGUCUCUUUAUUGUGCAGGUCCCCAAAAAUUAAAGAUUGCAGAAAAGUCCCUGCAGUGAAGGAACCCACUGCAAAUUUUGCUCCCUGCGUCUUCUCCUUAAUGUUUGCUCAAGUUCUGGAUCACAAAGAAACAAUUUUCUGCACUGUUGAACGGGUGCUGACCAUACACAGAUUGUUGUAAUCUGUACUGUUGUACUACAGUAAUCUGUAAAAAUAAAAUAAAAACAAAAAUUAAAAUUUUUUAAUUUUUUUUAUAUGUGUAUAUACAACAAUAACUAUGACACACCCCGUCCCAAAGGAGGGCAUGCUGGCCGUCACGUGAGAGUGACGUAACCAUUUGCACAGUACGGAAGCUUUAAUUAUACAAUUUAUAAGUUGAUACACCCGAAGGUGAGUCCUAAUUUUGUCUAAUCUGUCAGAACACCGUCGAAUUCCUCGUAGUCACCACACCUUUGUGAUUCCUGAACCUGGAGGGGCGCAAAACCAAAAUUGAGUGGGUGAGUAAAACAAUUCUUUUCCAAAUCCAAACAUUUCUCAAAACGUUGUAACCCCUCUCCGUAAAACCUGUAUACUUUCCCAGAAAUGUAAAAUAUAAAUAUACAUAUAUAUUCUCAACAUUUUUCUUUAUCAAUCAUGCCAUGCCAUGUCUAAUUCAACAGUUAAGUAUGGAUGCAUCAACAAUAAUCAUAUCAGGUGCAAGAAAGUAAUCAAUCGGAGGCCCUCUAAUAGUCCUGUACGGUUGAAUCUAGAGCUCGAAAUCUAUCACUAUCACUCUGCCGGAGUCACCUCUGUGACCUAUCCGGCCUUCUGCACACAAGUUACGCUCUAGUGCUUCUCUCAUCAAUCAUCUGUGCACAUAAUCUAAGGUCACCCACCAGUCGAAAUCUCACUAACACUCUUCGACUGGCCCGUCGCACCCACUCCGCGUGGACUGUGCGACCAGCAUCUACUUGGAUCCAAGGCGAGCGUGCGAUGCGGUGAAUACUAUAAGCACUAAACCAUGGUGCAGGAUUUGAGCUCAAUAUAUAUCAUCAUCAUCAUAACAGUAAUUAAAUACUCACCUGAUACUCACCUGUGCGUCCGCCGCACCAAUUCAUACAUAUGCAUCAUAUCUCAAUUCAUGCUUUUCAUAUCAUUUCAUGCAUGGCAAUUCGAUUUACAUUUCCAUAUAUAUUUCAUAUACUUCUAUGCAUGACCUUUCAAUUCACGUUUUCAUAUAAUUCUAUAUACCUUUCGUUUAAAACAUAAUUUCAUUCUAAUUCAAUUUCUGGGAAAACGUCAAGUAUAUAUAUAUACGGAAAACAAAACUGUCCACUCACAGAUUACAUCGACGUCUCGUAAGUCCCUGAGCAUCCCUUGGCCAUGCCUGAUGCCCGCAUAAACCUCACCUAUACAAAAGUAACCAUUUUGAUGUUAUUUAACGCCUAACCCAAAUCUUAGUUAAUAACUCCUCAUAUUUUGCUCAAAUUGGGUAUAUGAAUAUACCACCGUGACCUACACAACCUCAGGAUCAUCCCCAUAUUUUUAAAAUAAUUUUUCGAGGUCUCACGCGCCCCCACGUGCCUGACGUGGCACGGACCUACGCGCCCCCCACGCGCGGCCACGUGACAUGCACACUGACGGCUACAGUGAACGGCGUUAGGGAAUAUUCCGUCAAAUCCUAGUAUAUUCCGUUAAAAACUAACGGUUUCCGUUAAAACUGACUAACGGCGUCAGAAUAUUCCGUCAAACUUGACGGAAUAUUCCGUCACCUUCAACCUUCAGCUCCGGGGACCGUCGCCGGCGCCGGAAACUGGGUAAAUUUUCAAAACCACUAAUUUCACUCGUUUUUGGUCCAUUUUCUUCGAAUUUUACACCAAAAUGAAGCAUUUAACACCUACUAUCACGUUGGAAGGUUUUUAAGGUCCAAAAACAACAAGAUCAUACCUUUCCAAAUUUCAUCAAAUUCGGCCAAACUCGAACCCAACGAUCCCGACGUCCAUUUUGUUCAAACGAGGCACUCUGAGCCUCCUCGUGACCUCCUUAAGCUCACUGUGAGCUUUGUUUAACCUAAAACACGGCCAUAUUAAAGUUUGUGAACAGUGCUUAAUCACGGGGUGUUUUGAAACUAGGAUUUCAGAAAUGAAACUUACUCGAAAAUGGUAUCCCCGUGUUCGUGAAGUCAUCAGGAGUGUCGUGGUGAUCUUCACUUGGACGUUCGUGAAUGUUUUAGGUAAGUUUGUGUGUGAGCUUGUGAGUUCGAGAGUAAGAGAGAGAAUGAGAGAGUCUGAAAUGAAGAAAGAGAGAGAGAGUGUGUGACUGAGAAGGAUAAGAGCUGAGGAAGAGACAACCUACGGGUUUUGGGGAAGGAAUUCGGGAGGUAGGACCCUACCUAAAGUCCAAAUACAAAAUAACACAUACAAUUAUAAAUCUAACCCUAGUUUAGGAUCUUAAAGUAAAACAAACACCAAAAUUACGCACCUUAAUCCCGUUUAAGGGCGUUUUUGUAAUUUCACGUCCUCGGUAUUUAGUAAUUCUGGGACGGGCUGUGACAAUCUCCCCUCCUUAUAGAAUUUCGUCCCCGAAAUUCCAGUCAUCAACCAGAACAUCAAAACUCAUAGAAUAGCCUCGGAUACAUAUCCUGCAUCCGUUCUUCUGUCUCCCAUGUAGCUUCUUCCGCUGUAUGGUUUCUCCACAAUACUUUUACCAAGCUCACGGUCUUAUUCCUUAGAGUCUUAUCUUUCCAAUCCAGUAUAGUCACUGGUUCUUCAUCAUACGUCAAAUCCGGAUUAAUUUCCAAAAGUUGAGGAGGAAUCACAUGUGAAGGAUCUGAAACAUAAUGCCGAAGCAUCGAGACAUGAAACACAUUAUGUACCUUAGACAACUCUGGAGGCCAUUCAAUUCUAUAAUCAACUUCACCAACCUUUCGAUGAUCACGCUAAGUCCGAUUCAUUUAGGAUUUAACUUGCCUUCCUUUCCAACCCGAAUUAUACUUUUCUAUGGUGAACACUUCGAAAAUAUAAAACCAUUUACCUUAUAUACUCGAUUAGUGGCAUAUCUAUCUGUUGAUCUCUUUUGCCAUUCCUGGUUACUUCAGGUUAACUUAAUCACCUGAAUACUUUGAGGAGACUCAUCCAUAGUCUCAAGGUCUACUAAAACUCUUUCUUGAUUGAAUCUUUCUCUAUUCAGAAGCAUUUCAUUCACACGACACGCUUCAGGGACCCUAUGGCGUUAUUUCGGAAACUGCGCACCCAACAUACUUAAGAAACUCAGCAGUUCCGUAAUCCAAUUCUCUUUCCAUAAAACAAAUAAGUACCGUUGUCCUGACUGGGAAAAAGUUAUUACUCAACACUGGAGUAAAUAUACUAACUUGUUACGUUGCCCAACCAUCACUUCACAUCCGAUCGUAACCAUCUUGUAUACAAGGAAACUUGUACACAUAGUCCAAAGUAAUAUCUUUCCAUUUCCGUUUCGAAACAGAAAAUAGUUAUCUCAAUCCAAAGGUUUAUUUCUUUCUGCCUCAAUCUGCUGACCAAUAAAAAUGUCGAAUGGUAUGAUAAACCUUAUUACUUUCGGAAUAUUGCAGAAGUUAAACAAUGUACUUCGUCCAAAAUUGCUUACUUUAAACCCACAGCAUUAGGCACAUACUUUUCGUUUGCUUGUAUUCACAUACCAUCCGAUUCAAGAAUCAUGUACUCAUUCUUUUUCCUUUCUUUCUCUGCCUUGGUUAAUUCUUAAAUUUCUUCGUUAACCAUUUGAGUCUCGAGUACGACCUUACCAAAAGGCCUAACUUGAAACUUAGCAAGUAUAACUUCUUCUCGAUCUUUCAUUCUUAACUUUACUUUAGUUGGUUUCCAAUCCACAAGAAGAUAAUCUUGGCAAGCGUACCAAGCAUUAAUUCUUGCUGGAGUCUUCUCAUCAAGUGCUUCCGCUACAACAAUUCACGAUCACCCUGAUCGUACAAUCAUAAUCACUAAGUAAUUCAAUCCACCUUUGUUGCCUCAUAACAAAAUCCUUCCGAGUAAACAAAUAUUGGAGACUCUUUUGAUUUGUAAAAUCUUGCAUUCUUAUCAACAUAUAAUGUCUCCAUAACUUCACAGCAAGGAUGAUAAUCGUGACUUCCAAAUCACCAGUAGGGUAAUUCAUCUCAUGAGGUUCCAUUUGUCGUGAAACAUAUACAAUCACCCUAACAUUUGCAUCAACAUGCCUCCAAUACCAUUCAAGAAACAGCACUAAAAAUUUAUGAUUACCACUAUCUUCUAGGAUUACUAAAAUACGUGUAUGAGUGAGGAAAUACUUUAGUUGUUGAAUUCCUUACUCACAAUUUCCUUCCCACUCAUACAUAACUCUUUUUCUCAACAGUCUCGUCAAUGACAAAGCAAUGACUGAAAAAUCUUUCACAACCAUCCAAGAUAGCCUGGUAAGUUAAGAAAUUCCAAAUCUCAAUUACGACUCGUGGUUGUUCCAAAUUCUCAAUUCUGCUGCCUUUUAAGAAUUCAUUUGAAUACCUUAAGUAGAUAUAACCAAUCUCAGAAUGCCACUUGAUUCAUCUAACUUUAGCAUUUGCUACUUAGCAUACAACCGACGUUCCCUCAAACUUUGUAACAUCAACUUAAAAUAUCUAACAUGCUCUGCUCUAGGCUUAGAGUAUACCAGAAUAUCUUCAAUGAAAAUGAUAUCUAUUUAUCAAGGCAUUAUUGGAAUACUUCAUCCAAUAACUCAUAAAACAGCAUGAGUAUCCAUAUAGCAUCACCAAACUUCAUAAGGACCAUAACAAGUCCAGAAAACCAUCUUAUGAUCAACGUCACUUAUAAUAUUCAAUUGGUAUUAACCAGAUCUCAAGUCAAUCUUUGAAAAUAUACAAGCACCUUUGAACUGAUCAAAUGAGCGUCAAUACACCACAAGGGAUAACGGUUCUCAAUCGUUACCCGACUCCAUUGUCUAUAAUCAAUGGAUAGCCUUAAAAAUCCAUUUUCUUCCUCACCAACGAACUGGGCUCCUCAAAAGUGUUGUACUAGGUUGAAUAAAACUUUUAUCAACCAAUUCUUUCAACUGAAUUUCCAAUUCCCUUAACUCAUCAUGAACCAAUCUUUAACAUAAAUUUAUACCUGGCAACAAUUCAAUAAUGAACCUCAUAUCUCUGCCUGAAGACAAUCCAGAUAUACUUUCAGGGAAGACAUCAAGAAAAGUCUAACCCUUUCGACAUUAUUCACACUACUCCAAACAAUAUCAUUUAGCACCACAUGAGCUAAGUAUUUUUGGGCAGCCUUUCAAAACAAUCUCUUUGCUUUCACAGCAUAAAUAAUGGCUGAACUCACUUCACUUUGCAUGCCCACUCAUUAAGGUAACCUCUGAUCAUCCAGAUCGAUGGAAAAUGACUGGUUUCCCGUAACAAUCCAUCUAGUCACAAUUAUAACCAACUAAUCUAAUGGAAAUAAUUUAACCGACACAAUUCAUACUCUAUUACUACUAAGCAUUCUGAAUAAGUACAAUACUAACAUAAAAUAAUCUACCGGGUUGCUUGCUUAACGAAUCCACGAAUGAGUUAUUAAUAUUACGGUCUGCAGCCCGCAAUACUGAUAAAUCAUCGUUGUCUCGAUAAGUAGGCAACCACUCUCAAAGAUAUAACAUUACUAUUUUGUCACUCAAUGCAAAAUACAUACACUCGUCUCAACUACAUUUAUUUACUACUCUCUAGGUAAUAACAUACAUAAUAAGAAAUAUAUCAGCCGAAGUCAACUAGAAUGACCAAUACGGCUGAUUCAACUCUUAUCUCAAUAAUACGUCGGCCGGAUCCACUCUGCGUGGUCGGUACGGUCGAGUAUAUAACUCACCAAUUUCUCAUGUGUCAGUCGAAUCCACUUCUCAUGGUCUAUACGGCUGAACAUAUAACUCACCAAAUCUCUCUGUACUCACGGUCAAUCCGACCAAACUACUAAGUUCAUAAACUUGCUGAAUCGACACUAUGAUGCCAUGGAAACUGUUGGGUACAACUGAUUCUAGGGACGAUUCACAAUUCUGUGUCCCCUCUGUUCACAUAAACACAUUUAUUAAUUUCACACUUCCCAAAGUGUUAAUUUUGUACCUGCUGCACAAAGUACAUUUCCUUUACUCGAGACACCUUGUCUCAAAUAUCUGGGAUUACCAGUAUAUCCAUCACUUUUACUCUGACCAGCUACAUUAAAACCUCAGCUGGAAGAAUUAACUCUAGCUUCACUUCUUUCGAAGCUCUGAAUCUUUCUAUAUCCUUGAUAUGACGAAUCAUUAACUUUAUCGUCUUCUUUUAAUUCCCAUUCAUUUCUUAUUCCUCUUUACUCUCGUUGAUCAUGUUCUCAGAGUCCUCAAGGCUCAACAACAUCUCGUAUACUCCUGGUAAUAAAUACAAUGGAUAGUGGUCACUCAAAGAACGCCGCUUUUUCUUACUAUCCAGCAUAAACAACAUAACACCUCAACCAAAUUAACAGUAAUAUCUGGAUGGAACGAGGCAAGUCUGAAAACUUUCUAUAAUAUCCCUCGAUCAUCACCUUCAUUGUCUCAUAUUUGUAAACUCUUGUUUACUACCAUCGAUAAAUGCCGGAGGGAUAAACUUUUCCUUAAACAAGUCCUUAAACAAUUUUAAAUCGGCUGAUUCCUCUGGUGACAACAACUAACAAUCCUGUUUCCACCAGGAUACAAAUUCAUACCCAAAACCAGGUAGUCGUCUCGACCCCUUGUCAGAAGGAAGAUUCCUUUGACUUGCAUAAUCUGAAACAUCUUUUCCAAAUGGUUAAACCGUUACUUCGUUCCCUCAGGUUCAUCAUUUCAUAAGGUGAUUCAAAUUCGACUUAUAACCCGUCUUAAAAUGUCCAUUUUGAUAAUAUACUGAAUCACCAUAAUAAUAGUUUCCCCCAAACCGCUAAAUCAGGGAGACUAAAUUCCUCUAACUACGUGGUUUGCUACGAGGCGGUGUAGUUCUGACAGAAUUCACUAGAAACUUCUCAAGAUGUCCAAGAUUGCAACCAUGCUCUGAUACCAACUGACACACCCCGUCCCGAAGGAGGGCAUGCUGGCCGUCACGUGAGAGUGACGUAACCAUUUGCACAGUACGGAAGCUUUAAUUAUACAAUUUAUAAGUUGAUACACCCGAAGGUGAGUCCUAAUUUUGUCUAAUCUGUCAGAACACCGUCGAAUUCCUCGUAGUCACCACACCUUUGUGAUUCCUGAACCUGGAGGGGCGCAAAACCAAAAUUGAGUGGGUGAGUAAAACAAUUCUUUUCCAAAUCCAAACAUUUCUCAAAACGUUGUAACCCCUCUCCGUAAAACCUGUAUACUUUCCCAGAAAUGUAAAAUAUAAAUAUACAUAUAUAUUCUCAACAUUUUUCUUUAUCAAUCAUGCCAUGCCAUGUCUAAUUCAACAGUUAAGUAUGGAUGCAUCAACAAUAAUCAUAUCAGGUGCAAGAAAGUAAUCAACCGGAGGCCCUAUAAUAGUCCUGUACGGUUGAAUCUAGAGCUCAAAAUCUAUCACUAUCACUCUGCCGGAGUCACCUCUGUGACCUAUCCGGCCUUCUGCACACAAGUUACGCUCUAGUGCUUCUCUCAUCAAUCAUCUGUGCACAUAAUCUAAGGUCACCCACCAAUCGAAAUCUCACUAACACUCUUCGACUGGCCCGUCGCACCCACUCCGCGUGGACUGUGCGACCAGCAUCUACUUGGAUCCAAGGCGAGCGUGCGAUGCGGUGAAUACUAUAAGCACUAAACCAUGGUGCAGGAUUUGAGCUCAAUAUAUAUCAUCAUCAUCAUAACAGUAAUUAAAUACUCACCUGAUACUCACCUGUGCGUCCGCCGCACCAAUUCAUACAUAUGCAUCAUAUCUCAAUUCAUGCUUUUCAUAUCAUUUCAUGCAUGGCAAUUCGAUUUACAUUUCCAUAUAUAUUUCAUAUACUUCUAUGCAUGACCUUUCAAUUCACGUUUUCAUAUAAUUCUAUAUACCUUUCGUUUAAAACAUAAUUUCAUUCUAAUUCAAUUUCUGGGAAAACGUCAAGUAUAUAUAUAUACGGAAAACAAAACUGCCCACUCACAGAUUACAUCGACGUCUCGUAAGUCCCUGAGCAUCCCUUGGCCAUGCCCGAUGCCCGCAUAAACCUCACCUAUACAAAAGUAACCAUUUUGACGUUAUUUAACGCCUAACCCAAAUCUUAGUUAAUAACUCCUCAUAUUUUGCUCAAAUUGGGUAUAUGAAUAUACCACCGUGACCUACACAACCUCAGGAUCAUCCCCAUAUUUUUAAAAUAAUUUUUCGAGGUCUCACGCGCCCCCACGUGCCUGACGUGGCACGGACCUACGCGCCCCCCACGCGCGGCCACGUGACAUGCACACUGACGGCUACAGUGAACGGCGUUAGGGAAUAUUUCGUCAAAUCUUAGUAUAUUCCGUUAAAAACUAACGGUUUCCGUUAAAACUGACUAACGGCGUCAGAAUAUUCCGUCAAACUUGACGGAAUAUUCCGUCACCUUCAACCUUUAGCUCCGGCGACCGUCGCCGGCGCCGGAAACUGGGUAAAUUUUCAAAACCACUAAUUUCAAUCGUUUUUGGUCCAUUUUCUUCGAAUUUUACACCAAAAUGAAGCAUUUAACACCUACUAUCACGUUGGAAGGUUUUUAAGGUCCAAAAACAACAAGAUCAUACCUUUCCAAAUUUCAUCAAAUUCGGCCAAACUCGAACCCAACGAUCCCGACGUCCAUUUUGUUCAAACGAGGCACUCCGAGCCUCCUCGUGACCUCCUUAAGCUCACUGUGAGCUUUGUUUAACCUAAAACACGGCCAUAUUAAAGUGUGUGAACAGUGCUUAAUCACGGGGUGUUUUGAAACUAGGAUUUCAGAAAUGAAACUUACUCGAAAAUGGUAUCCCCAUGUUCGUGAAGUCAUCAGGAGUGUCGUGGUGAUCUCCACUUGGACGUUCGUGAAUGUUUUAGGUAAGUUUGUGUGUGAGCUUAUGAGUUCGAGAGUAAGAGAGAGAAUGAGAGAGUCUGAAAUGAAGAAAGAGAGAGAGAGUGUGUGACUGAGAAGGAUAAGAGCUGAGGAAGAGACAACCUACGGGUUUUGGGGAAGGAAUUCGGGAGGUAGGACCCUACCUAAAGUCCAAAUACAAAAUAACACAUACAAUUAUAAAUCUAACCCUAGUUUAGGAUCUUAAAGUAAAACAAACACCAAAAUUACGCACCUUAAUCCCGUUUAAGGGCGUUUUUAUAAUUUCACGUCCUCGGUAUUUAGUAAUUCUGGGACGGGCUGUGACAAACUAACUGAAAAUCUAAUUAGAACGAAUUAUUUUAAAUAAUCCCUGGCAACGGCACCAUUUUCUUGAUAGGGAUUUUACUACACACGUAAAUAGGCUAAAAACUCCUAUAAUACUUGCAAGAAUGAUAAAGUUAUUGUAGUAUAAACGAAUCUCACAAGGUCAUUCUCCACAGGGAUUAUUAAAUAAUUCGAAACAAGCCAAAUUCCAAUUAAUUAUUGUAAAGUAGAAAUUGAGAUGAUUGAUUUUAUAACCUACUUAAAUUAAAAACGAAUUUAAUUAAUAAAAGUAAACUAAUCUGCCAUAUUAAAGAUGAAAGAAAAGGAAAAGUUUUGGAGAAAUCAAAUUAAGAAAACACUAGGGUUCCACCAUCACCUAGCAAUCCUAUGAACUUUUACCAAUUACUUAUGAUCUACACAUGCCACUUUGAAGGUUAGAUUUUCCUAAUUCAUAUUCUACUUGGAACCUCCAACAUAAAACGUAUAUCUAACAUGCAACCCGUUUGGAUGUUCGGAUCAAAUCUGAACAUGAAGGACUCAUUAUGCUUUAUAAAAACCAGUUGAAAAACCAUGCAACCCUUAAGAUGUGGUAUUCAUCCUAAGUGUAAUUACAAUUAUUAAUCAUGAGAAGCCAACGUUAAUUUCAGGGAACCUUCCGACCCAAAUUGCAUCAAAUUACUUUUCUAAAGAUCCUAAUGGUGAUCAGGCAUUUAGACAAUUAGAUAGUUUUAAUCCCGAUGAUUAAUAAUUCAAAGUCAUAAGCAAUUAAAUAAAAAUCACAUAUUCAUGCUAAGGCUUAAGGUUUCGCCCUAGCAAAAGGAAUAAGUUACACAUAUUCAUAAUUAAAAUCAUAAAAAAUACUAUUAAGAAAAGGAUUGAAAAUACCUUAAAGUGGAAAAUCUCCAAGAACCCUAGCAAUUCUCUCUGUCUCCAAAGUUGCAUAAAAGAAAGCGUAGCCAGAAAAAUUUUGGAUGGCAAAGCAAUAUAUGUUGCUAUCCCCCGUAAAAACCCUAAAAAGCAGGUCCUUUAUUCCAACUAGGAAACUAAGAUAACUAAAAUAAAAUAGGAAGUAUAACUCUAAAUUAAAUGGUAAAAUUCGCCUAUAAUCUGAACAACCACGUUUUGGACCCUUAAGCUGCUCUAAAACUGGCCCAUUAUAGCUGGAUUUGAUGUUUGAAAUAUUUUGAACACCUCUCCAAAAGGCCAUGAACCCAUCAGAGGUCCUCUCGGGCUCCAAAAACACAAUUUAAGCCCAAAAAUGUCAUUUUCCCGCAUUGCACACUGCUUCUUUAUUCCAUCACCAGAAAAUAACCGCUUGGUAGAAAAAUCCCAAAUUUUGAUACGAACACACCAAGAGACACCCAAACGUCCUCCAUUUUGAAUCACUCCAAAAUUCGUCCGUUUGAUCAUGUUUUUCUCUAGAGGAACUCGGAUGUCCUAUAUUGAGAAUAUAAAUCAAAGUAUCAAAAUUCUUCCAAAAUAUUAACCAAAAUAUUUAAUUCCAACAAUGUUUAAUUCCAAGAAUAGGGUAAAAUAUAUAAUAUGAAAUUGACUCAUCACUACCAAACCCUACAAUGUUUAAUUCCAACAAGUUUAUAAAUAAGGCUUUGUAAAGUAUUGAACACAAGGAAGUUUUUGGCCGAAAAAACCCACCUAUAGGCUAAAAAAUUGGGGACUCUCCACUGAGUCCAAUUCACUAGUGUAAACAAAGGUUCAUACAAAGAACCACACAAAGCUCCAUUCCUAGAACCUAUCUAAGGAGCAGCUUUACCUUUGUGCAACCUUGCCUUACAUGAGACAGACUCAUUCGGUAUUCACGAAGUGGUAACUCCUCCUCAGCUCAUCACCUUAUGGCACCGUGAUCAACAUGAUCAAUGAUGUGAUAUGAUUUUAUGAUGCACAAGAGAUUUGGAUUCAAUUGACCAAUCAGGUUCUUCAGUCAAACAGUUGAAGAAGAACCUAACAUGAAUCCGAGAGAUUAGUCUAUGAAGGAUAAGAAAACAUAGGUUUAGACCAAAAGCUUAAUGAAAAACAAUUAAAAAAAUUCACCCCUAAUAUGCAGUGAAUGGGUGUUUGUACAUGAGACGGUUUUGUGGCUAGGGUUUUGGUUUAGAAGCUUAAAAGGUAGCUCUAGGCAAGAUGCACUCCUUUUCUGAAAAUUUGAAAAUCCUAACCAAGAACAAAUGAAACUUUCAAAACCCUUUUAUGGAAGAUAUGGAUGAUUUAGACAAGGGCAACAAGGGGACACGUGUCACGAGCCAAAGAGACCUUUCCAGAUCAAAGCUGACAGCUAGAGAACAGAAAAAAAAUUUGACUAGACAACUACAUUAAACAAAUGGAUUCUGGAAAAAAAUAAGCUUGACAUGCAUAUGCAAAUGUAUGAUUUAAACCUUUUGUAGCGAAUAUAGCUGGUGCUUUGACGAGUUCAAUCCCCAGUAGAAAUCCCAAAUCAGCAUUGUACCUUAACUCUAAAAUAUGAGCAUGUGUGGUGCAUUUACAAAUUUUGACAAGGAGAGCCAAACACUAAACCUAGUACUGAACAGAACUAGAUUGUCAAGAGGGUAGAUGGGAUGAGAUCAGAUUAGAUGUGAGGGUGGAGAGUUGAUUCAUUUAUUUUUUUUAGCCCUGUCAAGAAUUCUUGAUUCUUUUGUAAGAGGAAGUUUAUAUUUCCACCCCGUUGUUUUAGCUUCUCUUAUUUAUUUUAUUUUUGUAAACACGAAAGUAGAUUUGCAUUGAUGAAUUUGUAGGGUUACAAUCUCUGUUUACAAUUUUCCUCUAAUUCAGUCUAAUUUGAUGUAGACACAUAGGUUGUUGAUCCAAGGGUCAUGAUAACUUGAUCUCGGACGAACGAUUGAACGAUUGCUUCAAGUUUUGAGCUUGAAACAAUGCGUGGAUAGUCUUCACCUCUAAGUUUGAGUAUGACCUGCAGCACAGGUGAUGUUGAUGUGGGAUUUUGUUGAUUAAAGGGUCUUGGUGACUUGAUCUUGAAUCGAACGUUGUUACAAGUUUUAAGCUUGCAACAAAGUCUUGAAGAAAUCUGCACAAGUACUUGUUGAUUCUUAAAGGGAAUGCGUCGACUUUGGUCGAAAAAAAGCUUUAGCUUUGGUUGUAUGUUCUUCGAAGAGAGCUUUGGCAACAUAUUAUUCUGCAAAGAUUUGGCAAAGGUUCUCCUUUUGUGAGAAUUUUGGCCCUUCAAUGUAGAAAUUGCCUACCUUUAAGCUUGUUUGAGGACCUUGUAUUUAUAAACUUCUCAAAGCUUGCCUUUGGAUGGAUUGGGCUUUGAUUUGUGUCUUGAUUCAUCCAUGGGAGAAUUUAGGCAUGUUUUUGGCCUAAAUAUAUAGGGCUUUUUUUGCCUAUUUUGUGAGCGAUCUUCAAUUCUUGCUUGUUUUGUGAAGUUGCUUUAGCUUUCUUUCCGGUUUUGGGAGCAAUUUGGGCCUCUUGCCAAUUUUAAGGAGAUUUCUUCCCCUUGCCGGUUUUGGAAUGCUUUUGAGUUUCAUUUGCUUGAUUUGUGCCACAUGUCAUUGAUGACUUGUCCAUUUAUGAUGAGUCAUAUGCCACGUGGAGCUUUGUAAUGCAUCAUUUGCAUGCAACGAAAUUUACAUGUCUCUAAGUCUCUACACUAAGGAUGAGGUGUGAAGAUGAAAUGGAUGACUUAGAGGAAGAAAGAUUGCUAGCUAUCUUUCCCCUAAGUGGCCGGCCUCUAUGGAGAAAAAGUUUCUCUUCUUUUCUUCAAGAAAACCCUAGUGAGAGAAUGACUAUAAAGUUGCAUUUAUACCACCUCACAUGUGAGUGGCAAACUUGCUAUUAACCCAAGUUUGCUACCACCUACCCUUGGCCGGUGUUGACUUUGUUUUUGGGUUAAUUUCCAUUUAGUUAUAGUUGUCACAAAACCUAAACUCAAUGGGCGUUGUGGACCAAAAAACCCUUUUGGGCCCCGAAACCCAAAACCAACUUAAAAGCCCAAUACGAAUCUUUUGUAAGAUUAAUUAACUAAUUAAUUAAUCUUGACCAUUCUCAAUUAAACUAUUUAAUUGCUUAUCCAUCUCAUAUAUAUUUCUUUACUUUCUUCCUUACUCGGUGUAUGAUCCAUUAGGUUCCAAUUAGCAAGGCAGCGGGCGAUUGCUACUCUUAACGAUCGAUUGUUGAUGUGAAAUAUUCUAACACACAAAUUAAAUCCUAUUAAGAUAGUUGUAAUAUAUGAAAGUAGGGAUCGUUCUAGGCCGGGGAUUAACUAGGGCUGCUAAUCCACACAAAUAUGACUCAAAAAGACAAAACUAGACUUAAAAACACUUAACUAGACGCAAAGAACUCAAAAUAAACUAAAAAACUCAAAACGGCACAAAACAAUCAAAUAGACUCAAACUAGACACUAGAGGGUGAAUUGGACGAAAAUUGAUUUUAACUUGACUCAAAACACUUAAAAACACAAAUUGGACAGAUUCUAACUAAUUUGACUCAACAAAGUAAAGGGGGAUUGGGUUUUUGACGAAAUUAAAGUAACAACAAGUGCAUUAAAAACUUAAACAAAGUUGAACGAAUUUGGUGAAUUAAAUGGAUGAAGGCUAGCUAGAGGGUCCUUUUCCACACAUGACACACUUGCAUACAAAUCAAUCUCCAGUUGCUUUUUCUAUAAACCAUGAAUGACAAUGCCCAGAUUAACCGUGCCAUCACUAAUUAACCCUCAGAUUUUCCUUAAGUCAUUGAAUUGGAUGGGAUACGCAUCAUCAACCCAAAUCAUUCUUCAAUAGUCCCCUACAUGCACAUCAUAAUAAAGAUACAAUCAAAGAUCAUUAAGUUCUAUGAAAAUCAUAAGCAUUGACAAAGCAUUCGUAACUAUGACAUCAUGAUACUCAUGCUAGGAAUUUAACUUAACGCAAUCGUGACCAGCGACCUUCACUACUUAUGAAUAUAAGUUUGUAACGAUUAUGUGAAACUCCCUUAUUUUCUAGCAUCAAAUUUAAGCAUGCAAACUAAGUAGGCCUCCUUAAUCAACAUACAAGAAUAAGUUUUGAAUAAAACAGUUAAGCAUGUUGCAUUCACACUUUAUGAAAUCACAACUGGAAUUAAUCAAUUCAUAAUGCAAAUAUGUUCAUGGUUUCGAAAUUCCCCCUAGCUAAAAGGGGUUUAGCUCCUCAUGUUCACAAAACAAAGAUAAACAAACUUAAACAUUAAAACAAUUGAUAGAAUACACCUAGAAACGCUCCAACAAUUCAAAGAAUUUGAAUGGUAGGCACGGCACAAAGUUCUCUUCUUCCUUCCUUGCAGCUGCGGCACAAUGAGGUAUGUGUGGUGAAUUGUGUAGAAAUAUAUAGUAGGGGGUGGUGGUCUGAAUGAAUGAUGCAGCAAUUAUAUUUAUAGGGAGAAAAGGCGCGGCCUAGGUAGCAUUGGAAAAGGAUUAGCACUCCAAAACCCAAGUGGAAUGGGUUAAAACAAUCAGAACCCAAGGGGAAUUAGGAUGACACAUCAAAAACCAUCAGGAACAAGGAUAUAGGGUGCGGCACAACUAGGAAAACGGGUUCUGGAAGGGAUUGGGGCGCCAUUUUUGUAGGGAGAGGAAAUAAGGCUUCUAGAAUCUGAAAUAUGUAUUUUAAAUGCAUAAUUAUCCCUUAUAAAUGGUUGGAAUUAAGGCACAAACUGGUUUGGAUAAGAUAAGGUUAGGUAAGGCUAGAUUAAGAAAGGAUAAGAUAAGAUAAGGUUAGUUUGGAUAAGAUAAGGUUGGAUAAGGUUUUGGAUAAUGACUUCUUCUUUUGAACUGAUUCCUUAUCUUCUUUGUUUUGGAUUUAUUUUCUUCAUCUUUUCAACACAUUCCUAGCCUCAUGAACUUCAAAUUCGUCCAUCCAUCUUGCUCCACUCAUAAGCUAUCCAUUUGAUGCCCAAAACUGCCUCAAAAUGCUCCAAAUUGCACUUUCUUGCCGACUUUGUCAUUUGGACCUACAAACACACGAAAAUAGCUUAAAACACUAUAAUAAACACAAACUAAUUCUGAAAAUGCACGAAAACAAGCUAACUAAGUCACAUAAAUAUGCUCCUAUCAAUUGUGAAUUGAAACUACAUUUCAAUUAUCCCUUUCAUGAAGAUUAGUGUUUGCUAAUCCUUAAGGCUUCCACAAACCAUGAGUGACACCUAGCAGUAUGUCAUGGCUACCCAAGCUAAGUGGAAGUGGUUGGAGAACCUAUCCAGUUACAAUUACAAUGCAAUACGGUCUUUCUCUAGUACAAUACUGUUAAUCACAUUGUUUGAGUCGUUUGUUUCAUGUCUACUAUCCAAUGUGAUACUUGUCUAUAUGAGUCAAUUGAAUAUGAUUUGGAACAAACUUCCUAAGUCAUAUUCUUAUGCUUUGGCCAAAGACUCCCGAAUCAUAUCUCAGAGUAUUCUCCCUCCACCAUGGAAGGUUAGAGAUCCCUUGUUGUGCAUUUAUAUGCCUAUAUGACUAGAUAGCUUGACCCCAACAAUGCCGUGGACACUCUCAAUGGAAUGCUUUUAACAUGAUCAAAGAUCAAGGACCCAACCAUUAGACAUCUAUAAUGCCUCAGGUCAAAAGACUACUUUGCAUAUUGCAACUUACCAGUUCUUAUAUGACAUUCGAACUCCUUUUUUUAUCGUUGUUCAGUGUACUCAAUUACCUAUUGAGCACCUAUGUGUUGGUCUCAGUGUCCAACACUAAAUGACUUGAGACUAGUCAUAUUCACACUUGAGUUAACAUAACACAUAAUAACCUUAGCGGAUUGUCAAUGCCCAAUUGUCAAUCCUAUGGCUAGGAACGUUUUAGGAAUGAACAUAAGAUAAAAGUCUCAUUAAUCUAACUUACUUAGAUCACUUCUCUCUUAGAUUAAAUACAUUCCUUGGAUUCCUUAUUUCUUAAACACAUAAUACAAUAAAUAGUGAUUAACAAUAAGAUUUGCCCAUCAUUAAACAUAUAAUAGUUUAACACAAUAAGUACUCCAAAAGCUAUUACAUCAAAUGAGUGGCUUUGUAGGCAUACUUCCAACAAUCUCCCACUUGCACUCAAAGCCACCUUCCCAUGUAUCUAAUACCCAUAUUUUCCAUAUGGCAGUCAAGUUGGAUUUGAGACAUUGGCUUCGUCAGUAGAUCUGCUACGUUAUCGGCUGAGGCAACCUUGAGAAUGUUGAAUUCCUCCUCGGCAACAUAUCUUCUAAUGAUAUUAAAACGUCUAUCAAAAUGCUUGUUCUUUUGAUGAGGCCUGGGUUCCUUGGCUUAAGCUAUCGCCCCACUAUUAUCACAGUACAAAGUUACUGGUGAUGUAAUGGUUGGAACCACUACAAGUUCAGUAAUGUACUUCUUCAUCCAGAACGCUUAUUUGCCGGCUUCAGCUGCAGCGACAUAUUCAGCCUCCAUCGUGGAAUCAGCAAUUACAUCUUGUUUCUUGCUUUUCCAGCUGACAGCCCCACCAUUCAGAGUGAACACGUAUCCGAAGUUGAAACUUCUAUUAUCGACGUAAGAUUGGAAAUCUACUUCUGUAUAGGCUUCCACUCGCAACACUGUCGCUCAUCCAUAAAUGAGGAACAUGUCUUUAGUUCUUCUUAAGUACUUAAGGACAGUCUUGACAACUGCCCAGUGUUCUGAUCCUGGGUUAGAUUGAUAUCGACUAGUAAUGCUCAUAGCAUAUGCAAUAUCAAGCCUUGUGCAUAUCAUGGCAUACAUGAGACUUCCUAUGGUAGAAGCAUAAGGAAUAUCACUCACCUGUCGUAUUUCUUUAGGAGACUUAGGUCUCAUAGAUUUAGAAAGGUGAAUUCCAUGUCUCACAGAAAGAAAACCUUUCUUAAACUGUUCCAUCUGGAACCUACUUAGCACCUUAUCUAUGUACAUAGAUUGGGAUAAUCCAAUUAAUUUUCUAGAUCUAUCACGAUAAAGCUUUAUCCCAAGUACAUAAGAUGCAUCUCCCAAAUCUUUCACAUGGAAGGUUUUGGAUAACCACACUUUUACAUAAGAAAGUACUACAGCGUCAUUCCCGAAUAGUAAUAUGUCUAAGAAAGUACUACAAUGUCAUUCCCGAAUAGUAAUAUGUCAUCUACAUAUAACACUAGGAACACAACUACAUCCCCAACGACCUUUUGAUAAACACAAUUGUCAUCUUCAUUUUGAGUAAAACCAAACAAUUUGAUUUCAGUGUCAAAGCGAAUGUUCCAGCUCCUCUCGACUUUCUUAAGUCCAUAAAUGAACCUCUGAAGCUUGCAUACCUUAGACUUUUCAGACUUGGACACAAAACCUUCAGGUUGAGUCAUAUAGAGCUCUUCCUCUAGGUAGCCGUUCAGAAAGGCCGUCUUCACGUCCAUUUGCCAUAUCUCAUAAUCAUGGUAUGCAACUAUAGCAAGUAAAAUCCAAAUGGACUUAAUCAUGGCUAUAGGAGAGAAGGUUUCUUCAUAGUCAAUCCCUUCUCGUUGCCUAGAACCCUUGGCUACUAGUUUAGUCUUAUAAAUCUCCAUAUUAAGGUUUUUCCAUAGUCAAUCCUUUCUUGUUGCCUGUAAUCCUUGGCUACUAGUCUAGCCUUAUAAGUCUCCACGUUCCCAUCAACGCCUAUUUUCCUCUUGAAGACCCAUUUGUUUCGAACAAGUAUUAUACCUUCUGGAGGGUCUACAAGAGUCCAGACCUAAUUUUGAUACAUGGAAUCAACCUCAGAUUUCAUGGCCUCUUGCCAUCUCUUUGAAUCAAUGUCGAACAUUACUUCAGUGUAAUCUCUAGGGUCUUCUUUUGUGUCAUUGUCACUAAGAAGGUGCAAUUCCCCAAAGUCAUUAUCCAAGCCAUACCUCUUAGAUGGCUUACUGACUCGUUCAGAUCUACGUGGAGCUAGGGGUUGAGGAACAGGGUUGUCAAAUUGUCAAGUGCUUGUUUGUGGUUCAUCAUUAAUCUCAUUAAUUUCCAUCGUUUUACUUGUAGUUCCUUUGAGAACAAAUUCGUCCUCUAGAAACUUAGCGGUUCUGGUGACAAAGACUUUUUGGUCGUCAGGAUGGUAGAACUCAUAUCCCAUAGUUUCUCUAGGAUAUCCCACAAAAUACCACCUAACUGAUCUCACUUCAAGCUUGGUAGCUUCAAGCUUCUUGACAUAUGCUUCACAACCCCAAAUCUUAAUAUGAUUAAGACUUGGCUUUUUGCCAUGCCAUAUCUCAUAGGGCAUUUGUGAAACUGACUUAGAAGGUACUCUAUCAAGCAAGUAAGAUGAUGUAUAUAAAACGAAUCCCCAAAAUGUUAUUGGUAGAUCAACGGAACUCAUCAUAGAAGGAACCAUGUUCCUCAAGGUUUGAUUUCUCCUUUCAGAAACUCUAUUAAGUUGUGGAGUUCCUGGUGGAGUCCACUGUGAUAUUAUUCCACACUCUUUGAGAUAAUCUAGGAACUUGUUACUUAGAUACUCUCCCUCUCGAUCUGAUCUUAGGAUCUUUAUUUGUUUCCCAGUUUGCUUCUCAACUUCAUUCUUGAAUUCUUUGAACUUUUCAAAGGAUUCUGACUUGUACUUCAUAAGAUACACAUUGCCAAACCGAGAGUGAUCAUCGCUGAAUGUGAUAUAGCAGGGGAAGCCUCUUCUUGACAUAGUAGACAUUGGUCCACAUACGUCAAUGUAGAUUAACCCUAGAAUUUUAGUGGAACACUCUCCCUUCCCAGUGAAUGGAGAUUUGGUCAUCUUCCCUUUUAAGGAACAUUCAUAAGUACCCAUUUGGUCAUUACCUAAUGGGCGAAAAUAUCCGUCUUUCGACAUCUUGCGAAUCUUAUCAAGGUUCACAUGUCCAAGUUUAAGAUGCCACAUCUUUUCUUAGUUAACUUCUUCUUUAGCUCUUUUGGGUUUUGAGGUAUUCCCACUUUCAAUACAGUGCAUUCCAUUACUUGUCUCUAGGUAAAAAAGUCCCUCUAUCAUAUUACCAUGAGAGACAAUACUGAGUACCCAUCUCAUAAAAGCAUAGAGGUAGAAAUCAAAUUCUUUAUACAUGAAGGAAAAUAUAAACAAUUUUUAAGUUCCAAGACUUCCCCAGAGGGUAGUUUAAGAAUGUAGGUGCCUACUGCUUUUGCAAAGAUCUUAGUGCCGUUCCCAACUGAUAGGAGCAUAUUUGUACGACUUAGUUAGCUUGUUUUCUUGCUUUUAAUUAGCUAAACUAUGAUAAUUAUAGUGUUUAAAGUUAUUUUUGUGCAAUUUCAGGUUUUAGUGUCAAAGUAUGCACAAAGAAGCAAUUUGGAACAUUCUAGAGCAUUUUUGGGCCAAGAUUGGAUUGUGCAAGCAUGGAGGCAUGAGGAUGGACGAAUUUGAAGACAAAAAGAGGCUAUGAACAUGCUAAAAAUCUGGUGAAACAAAUACAAGUUGCAAGAAGGGAUAAAUUUCUAGAAGGAUUGACCAAAACUUCACUCAAAACCAAGAAAUUCUUCAAUGCCGUGGGCAUUGAUUCACUUUCACCAGAAAUUUGAGUGAUGAUGCAAUGCUUAAAUCACCAUGACAUGUGAGUGGAUGAUGCAAUGCUUAACUCACCAUGACAUGUAUUCAUGGAUGACUCAAUACCUAACCCACCAACAAUUCCCACUCUUUGCCUUGCUCACCUACUCAAUUCCACCAGAAUUUUGUGUUAAACAAGUCCAUCAUUUUCCUAUAAAUACCAUGGUAGCAACCUCAUUCAAAUCAUCCAGAAAUUAAUACACAUUUACAUUAGUUCCAAGGCUUGCAAAGAAGGAGGAGUGCUUGGAGUUGUGCUAGCCAUUCCAUUGGAGUUGUUGGAGCAUUCUAGGUGUAUUCUACUUUGUUUUUCUAUGUUUAAUAUCAAUUGUUUUUGUUUAAUUGCAAGUAUGAGGAACUAAUCCCCUACUUGGCUAGAGGUUAAUUCAAAGCCAUGAAUAUAUUUGUAAUAUGAAUUGAUUACCUUCAGUUGUGAUUUCUGAGUUGUGAUUUAAUUUGCUUAACUGCUUGAUUGAUAACUUAUUUUUGUAUGUCGAUUAAGAAUGCAUGCUUAAUUUACAUGCAUGAAUUUGAUGCUAGAAUAUAAGUGAAUUUCACCUAAUCGUUAUGAACUUAUAUUCAUAAGUAGUGAAGGUUGCUAGUCACAAUCACGUUAAGUAAAUUCUAGGCUGGAUUAACAUGCGUAUUCCAUAGUUAUGAAUGCCUAGUCAAUGUUUAUGAUUUCCGUUGAACUUAAUGAUCUUUGUUGAAUGUCUCUAUCAUGCGUAUUCCAUAGUUAGGGACUUUGAUGAGGAAUAAUUUGGUUGUAAUGCGUAUUCCAUUCAAUCCAAUGAAUCUAGGGAAACCUAAGAGUUAAUUUAAGCGAACCUAAUUAACUUGGAACAUUGUCAUUCACAAUUUAUUGAAAGAACAACUGAAAAUCAAUUUAGGUUGCAUAUGUGUCAUGUGUGGAGAAGAACCCUCUAGCUAGUCCGUCACCUAUCCUUUCACCUUAAUUCAUGCUUUUGUCAAUUCUGUAAUUUAUUUAAGUUUAAUUUACUUCUCGUCAAAACCAAACCCCCCCCCAUUAUUAAAUUAUAUUAUUUAGUUAGUUUUCAUUGUUGUUAGUCUUUUAAUUCAAUUUCCGUCCAUUUCAGUUCCUAGUGUCUAAAUUGAUUGUUUUCAUUAUGUUGAGUCAUUCUAAGUGUGUUUCGAGUUAUUAGAGUUUUUAGCCUAGUUUUGUGUCCUUGAGUCUUGUUUAAUAUUUUUAAAUUAAUUUAGAAUAGAUUAGCAAUCCCUCUUAAUCUCCGGCCUAGAACGAUACCCUACUUACAUCUAUACUACAAUUGUCAAAAAGAGGGUUUAAUUUGUGUGUCAAGUAAUUUUCGCAUCAAAUUUUGGCGCCGUUGCCGGGCCUUUUAUGCAAUUACAUAAAGUUUUGAUACUUUUGUGUAUUUGCACUUUGGCCCAAAAGUUUACGUUUUUACGUUUAGGUCCAAAAACGCUAAAGGACAAAUUGUUUUGCUCCUUUAAUGAAGUUUUUACAUUGUUUAAAUUUUGGGUUCUAGUGUAAUUACAUGAAGUAGUGGACUUUUGUGUUCUUACAAAGUGACCCCAAAAGUUUAUGUUUUUGCAAUAUUGCCCAAAGGUUGUGGUAAUUGCAUUUUGGCCCAAAUUAGGUAGAGAACAAAAUUGUUUUGUCUCUUUAAAUGAGAAUUGGAUUUUCAUUUCAUUUAGCUCCAUUUAAAUCAAUUUUAUGGAUACAAAAACCAAAUGAAAAUGUUGCAUUCAAUUUAAUUAGUUAAAGUGUUAAUUAAUUAAAGGAUGAUUAUGAACCUAAGCCUAAUAUAUUGAGCUAUGUGAAAGGCCGUUUCAAAUUUGUUUGAACCAGGGGAAUGUGUAGAUUAGAUUUUGGUUGUAAUUUGAUUUGAUCAAAUGUUGUAAAAGGGCAUAAGCCCUUCUUUACUUUAAGGUAAUUUGUUUUAUGCAAAUGUUGUAAUGAGCAUAAGCUCACCUUUACUUUGAAGUACUUCUUUCUUGCUUUAUUUGAUAUGCAUGAAAAUGAAGUAGUUGGGUCCAACGCCCCUAAGACAACACGCCUUAAUGUGAUUAAACGCGUAACUAAAAUCAAUCUCCAUCCCUAGACCGAGAUUCAACACAAGGCUCGUGUUGAAUCUAAACAAAGGUUCAUAGUCAUCCUAAGGCCCUAAGGCAACUAUAUAGUCCAUCAAAUGAAUGCAAAGUUUAUGUUAGUAGUAUCAUAUACUCUUGCUUUAAAAACCGUUUUAUAAGCAUAGUGGGAGUAUUAUAUACAACUAAAACAAUCAUAUGGACCAAUAGUUGUAAUAGGACCAAAAUUGUUUUAAUAAAGAUUAAAAUGAAUAUUUAUAUGUGAUGAGACCUAAAACCCUCAACCAAACCAUUAUUAAGUUGAUAAGCGUGAGAGUGCUUUGAACACUCUUUCGUGGCCUUCCACCGUGGUGGGCUUCAAUCGUUUGUGACUCAUACACCGUAUUCGUCCAGUUCUGGGGUUGCAAAGUAUGUGCUUACAUUCAGGAGAAGCCUAUACACAUAUGAUGAAGUGAAAGGUAGGCAACGAGUGUGGUCAAUAUGAUAUUCUUCUGAGGCCAUUCUUGAACCCCUACUUGAACUAGCAUGGUGGGAAUGACUUAACUAAGUGCAAUGUGCCAAUAUGAUAUUCUUCUGAGACAUCAUUCUCUAGAGGCCAAACUAGAUGGGUACUUGCAAGAGAUGCAAAUGAGUAAGCGUACUCUCUCAUUAUUAUUAAUGCUAGCCAAUAUGAUUUUCUUCUGAGGUGGGCUUGGUAGUAGUGAGUCUCCCAUACCCUACUAAGAGUUUCCUCCAAAACUCUCGAAUUCCAAUGAGGGAUAUGGACUUUGCCAAAAAUAGUGGGUGGUGCUAUUUGAUUUAAAGACCCGAAUCAAAUGGCUUAAAAUCAAUCAAUUUAUAUUCGUUAUGUAUUUGUUUACCAAUAUAUUUGCAAACGCUAUCCAACACUUGACAAAUAAAAGCCGAAAACUUUAGUUUCCGGACUUGGUACUACAAAACCAUAGAUUGUCUUUAAUGGCUUGUAAAUGUACCUAAGUAGUCUCAUCCUCACAAUCUUCCUAUUGAUAAUGUAUCUUGUGGGAUAUCCUUAAAUUAACUUUUGGAUAUCGCUUCUAUAAACCAACUAACAAAUGUUGUUUUGUUGGGUAGUUCAUUGUAAUCCUACAAUGUGAUUUGCCUAAGAGCUAAUGAACGAGAGAUAGAACUCAAAGGAUGGGUUCUUUGAGAGACAAGAAAGUAAUCAACAAAUAUAACAACCUAGUUCCUAUACCAAAGGCUCCAAGGUAGUCGAGAAGGAUUUAUAAACCGUCUCAGUUGAAUGGUUUGAACUUUAUGACUAUGUCAUAGAGUUACACCUCUUAAUUCGAAAGAAAUAAGAAUGAAAAUCCUUAUGACUACAUUGAGUGUAUAUAUGAUAUAUACUCAAGGAAAUGGUAAAGUACCAUUUGACCCAAAAUAAUGAAACCUUCAUAAGCUAAUUGGUAGCUUAAGGUGACUACAAUCAAAGAGAAUGGUUGACUUUGAAGAAACCAUCUUUGAGAUAGUCUAGGUUUCAAUUAAUUCGAAGAUUGCUAGCUACAACUAAAUUGUGAUUCAAUGUUUGGACAUUAUAUGGGUUUUCCGAAACCAUUAUUAAGAUAGUCUUGAUAAUAUAUGUCUAAAACUAUAAAUCACAAGACAUGUAAGUUGUAGAGAUCCAUCCAUCAUGGAUCUUAGCAAGCUAGUGGGAGCUAUAAGCAUCUUAUGAGAAAAGGAUCAAAUCGUUUGAUUUCUCAUAAAGAUGUAAAUGAAUCUUUUGUUUACUAGGUUUACAAAAGAUUAGUGGGAGUUAAUAAUGUUCCUAAAAUUUAAAAUAUAUAUAUGAUAUAUUAAUUUUGGAAAUGAAAAGAAUACUUCUCCAUUAAAGUUAUGACUUUAAAACAUUAUAUGAAGAUAGAAUGUAUAUGGAAGUUAAUCAUGUUCCUAAAAUUUAAAUAUAUAUAUGAUAUAUUAAUUUUGGAAAUGAAAAGAAUACUUCUUCGUUAACGUUAUGACUUUAAAAACAUUAUAUGAAGAUAGAAUGUAUAUGGGAGACAUAGUAUAUAUACAUGGGAUGGAAAUCUAUAUUGAUAGAUUUUAGGAUAUAAUUGGAUUAUAUCAAGCCCUAAAUAUAGACAAAAGUUGAUAGGAAGUUUCUCAUAUGAUGAUGAACUUCAAUCAAAUGGACAACUCUAGUAAGACUAAGGAGUUGCUCUUCUCAAAGAGAACGUACUCUUUGACUCCCAAAGAAAUAAUGCGUAAAUAGAAUCCUUUAUGCAUACGCAGAAAGGUGAUUUAUGUAUUUCAUAUUGUAUGAAAAACAUUGAUAUGAGUUGUACCUAGAAAGGUGCAAGACGAUAUCAGUGCAAGCCCAGGAUCAGAACCAUGGCAACUGUCAAGUGAGUCCUUAAGUAUUUAAGAAAUACUAAAGGAUAAAUUCCUCAAAGAUCGAGGAAGAAUUAGAGUAACGUAAUGGAACCGUAAAUGUAUUAGAUUAUGAAUCUAAUCCAUCAUUGGAUGUUUCUUCAUUAUGAAUGAAGAGAUAAACAGAUAUCUCUUUAUUAUGACUAAAGAUAUUUGGAUGGAAACAUUAAAGUAAUGACUUUAGUGUGUUCCAUUAUGAAUGCAAAAUAUAUUGCCAUAUAGAAGUUUACAACAAUGUUGUUUGGAUGGGAAAGUUCAUUUAUGAACUCUCUAUUCGGUUCCAACCAGAAAGUGUAUGACACUAAUGGGGCGAUAGCUCAAGCCAGGGAAUCAAGGUCUCAACAAGCUGAUUGGCUCUAGUGCAAGUGGGAGAUUGUUUGAAAUGUGCCCUAAAACCAAUCAUAUGAUGAUACUUUACGGACAUUUCACAUGUUAAACUAAUCUAGUUUAAUAUCAAGGGCAUAGAUUAUUGUUUUAAGCCGUCUCAUAUAAAUGUUAUAUGCUUAAACGAUAAGUCCAAGGAAUAUGUGAUUGGGAGAAUACGAUCUAAAGAAGUUAGAUUCAUGAGAUCAUUCUUUCGUAGACACAUCCUAAACGUUCCUGAUCAUAGGAUUGCCAAUUGGGCAUUGACAGUCCGUUAAGAUCAGUACGUGCUGUGUCUUCUCUCAGGGAGAGUGACUAGUCUCGAGUCAUUGAUGUGUGUGACAUCAAGACAAGUACGUAGGUGCUCAAUAGAGAAUGAGUUCACUGAACACGAUCAACGAAGAGUUCUCAUAUUCAUGUCACAUGAGAACUCAUGGUUGGGAUAAUGCAAAGUAGUCAUUUGACCUGAGGCAUCACAGCUGUCUUGUGCUUAAGUCCUUGAUCUUUGAUUAUGUCAAAGUCACCCCAUCCUCGGUGUCCACGGCAUCGUUGGGGUUAAGCUAUUUAGCCAUGGAGGCAAGUGAAUGUGCAACAAGGGAUCUCUAACCUUCAAACCGUUUGAGGGAGAAUACCCUAUGAUAUGAUUAAGAAUCUUUGGCCAAAGUUUGAAUGAGAUUUAGGAAGGCGUUCCAAAUCACAUUCAAGGUAAUCAUAUAAGCACACGAAUCACAUUGGAUAGUAGACAUGAAUAAACUAUCAAACCAAACAAUGUGGUCAAGAGUAUUGUAUUAGAGAAAGACCAUAUUGCAUUUGUAAUCCUAAACUGAAUAGGUUCUCCACCUGAUGUGAAAAUUAACUUGACACACAAAUUAAACCCUAUUGAUGACAAUUGUAGUAAUGAUGCAAGUAGGGAUCGUUCUAGACCGGGGAUUAACUAGGGAUGCUAAUCAACACAAAUAAGACUCAAAAACACUAAACUAGACUCUAUAGAUUCAAAACUAACUCAAAACACUCAAAACAGCAAAUAACAACCAAAAAGACUCAAUUCUAGACCUAACAAGUGAUUUGGACGAAAAUAGGACUUCAAAGACUCAAAAAGACUUAAAAGAAACAAGUUUUGACUCUAAAAACAAGACUUAAAAGUAAGGGGAUUGGUUUUGACGAAAUUGAACUUUUAAAACAUAAACUUUGUAAACAAACUUAAAGGCUCACGAAAUUGAUGAAAUAGAAUGGUGAAAGGCUAGUUAGAGGGUUUCUUCUCCACACAUGAAACAUAUGCACACGACUUGAUUUCCAGUUACUUUUUCAACAAACCAUGAAUGACAAUGCCCCAAAUUAACUAGAUUGCACCAAUUAAUUCUCAGAUUUCCCUAGAUUCAUUAAAUUGAAUGGAAUACACAUUACAACCAAAUUAUUCUUAUCCAGGACCCUAACUAUGGAAUACGCAUGAUAGAGACACAUAUCAAAGAUCAUUAAGUUCAAUGGAAAUCAUAAGCAUUGACGAGGCAUUCAUAACUAUGGGAUACGCAUGUUACUCUUGCCAAGGAUUUACUUAACACAAUCGUGACUAGCGACUUUUACUACUUAUGAAUAUAAGUUAAUAACGAUUAGGUGAAAUUCCCUUAUACUCUAGCAUCAAAUUCAUGCAUGCAACUUAAGUGUCGACCCUCAAUCAACAUACAUAAACAUGUUAUCAAUCAAAUAGAUAAGUAAACCACAUUCACGACUUAUGAAAUCAUAACUGGAGGAAAUCAAGUCAUAUAAAACAUAUGAUCAUGGCUUUGAAUUCCCCUCUAACUAUAAAGAAAUUAGUUCCUCAUGUUCGCAAAUAAACAAAGAUAAAUAAAUCUAAACAUUGAAAUAAAGAUAGAAAACACCUAGAAACGCUCCAACAAUCCAAGCUCCUUGAAUGGCAUGCACGGCUCCAAGAGUCUCCUUCUUUCUCCUUUGCAAACUCACGGCACACAAGGGAUGAUUGGGUGAAUGAUGUAGUGAAAAUCUGGUAGAGGGUGGUGAAUGAAUGGUGCGGUAUAAGGUUGUAUUUAUAGGCUGAAAAUCCCAACUCCUAGGUAGCAAAGGACAAGGUUUUAAAGGUCUAAUCUGCAUAGGACAAUAACAUACAAUCCUAUAAGGAAAACAAGUCAGAAAUCCAAAGGGAAUGGGAGAUAAGGUGCGGCACAAAACUAGCAGAUGAUAAGGCUUCUAGAAAUCUGAAAUCCCAAGGGAAAUAGGACAUAGGGUGCGGCAUAAAGGGUUGUUUCUAGAAAGAAAUACAAGGCAGAUUUUUAGGCUUCUAGAAAGGUUCUAGGUGCCAUCUUUGUAGGAAAGGAUUAGGUUUUCUAGAAAUCUGAUUUUAAGCAUCCUAAUAUAGCUAGGAAUCCUCCCAAGUAGCUGAAAUAUAGAUGGAUUAGGAUUAGGAUAAGAUAGGAUAGGAUAGGAUAGGAUAGGAUUGGGUAGGAUAGGGUUUGGAUAAUGUUUUGGAUAAGGUUUCUUCACUUGAGCUGAUUCUUUGGCUUUAACUUCCCUUCUUCAAGUGGGAAACCUUGUUUGAGUAGGAAACUUCAAUCUUCUAGGAAUCCAACUUCACUUAGGAAUCCUUCUUCAACUAGGAAUCCAUGUUUGAUUAGGAUUUCAUCUUCAAUUAAGCACUUUCCCACUUCAAUUAGGAAACUUUGCAUCUUCAAGUCUUCAACUUUGAAACACAUUCCUAGCUCUUCAUUCCUUCAAAUUCGUCCAUUCAUUGUGCUCCACAUGCAUGAGUUCCAUUCUAGCUCAAUUUUGCUCCAAAAUGCUCCAAAUUGCAUCUUUUUGCUUACUUUGUCCUUAAAACUUGAAAACACAUGAAAAUAGCUUAAAAGACUAACUUAACUAAGAAAACACAACAUAAAUGCAUAAAAACUAACUAACUAAGGUGCAUAAAUAUGCUCCUAUCAAAUUCCCCACACUUAGCUUUUGCUAGUCCUCGAGCAAAACAAAGAAACACAACGAAACGAAACAAAAUAAUCAAAACAUAACCUAAACCUUCCAACGUUGCCUCAGGGAUUCCCAAUGCACGUGACAUAUUAAAAAUCAUCAUUCCCACAGAUUUUAGUCAUCUUCUCACUUAAGCACAUACUUAAUCAUAGUCACCACGUACUAGUUCACAUUUAACCAAUUAAAACAUGAUUUUGAAUGUAGUAACAUGCCUUAGAGAAUUUACUCAAGUCCUUACUAGAUAUGCACUCAAUUUUCACACAGAUUUUCUAACUCCACACCCUAUACUAGUUAUAUGUGAGAAGAUUGAUGUAAAUAUGAAAACGAACGCUCACAUAUAUGUAUAACAAAGAAAGCAUUUUCGGGAGUUAAUAAGCAUUUAGAUAUGAUCUCAUGAAUGGAAUACUACUACUUAGAUGCGAGAACCAGGGAUAUCAUUUGCUCAUACCAAUUCCAAACUCCACAUAUUGAAACACAUAACAAUCAAGAUAGAAGCAAAUGGUUGUAACAGGGCUAAGGUAUUGGCUAACAAAGAAAGGGUAGGAUAAACAAACAUUCUUAAAGUAUAAUAAGCAAAGUAAUGAAAUUGACACUUAGAAUUCACUUUUGUAUGCAAAAAUCAAUUUUGAAAUACAAGGGGAAGACUCAUGCAACACUUAGGGCCAAAUUCAAGCUUUUUGGACCCUUUCUUCAACAACCAACACUUUAGAGCUUCUUUUCACACAUUGUUCAACUCUUCUUCAUUCUUUUCACAGUUUUUUUCUUCAUUUUUUCUUUUCCUACGAAUUUUGCUCUUUUCUUCUUUUUUUUUUUUUUUUUUUUUCAUCUCUUUCUCUAACCCGUGCCCUUCUACUUCUUUUGGCACACAAAAUUUCCCUUCCUCCACACUUAUCUUUCUGCAUAAUGUUGAUCAAAAGGAAUUCCCUCUAAGUCAUGCUUUAUUAUCCUUUAAGAACAAGGGUAUGGAUAGUCCUAAUCUAGGCUAGGUAAGGAUAAUGUGGCUAACAAAGAAAAUGGCUAACUAAGGCUCAAAAGGGUAAACCUACAAAACAAAUGCAUGGUAUGAAGGCUUUUUGGCUCUGGUGGUAACUACUAAACAACUUCAUCUUAUUAGUUAUGCUAAUCAAUUUUUAUGCUUUGAAUGAAGUGGGUAUGAGUUCUAAUAUUUGGAUCUAUAAUGAUAACACGCCUUCUAAGUAGCAACCAAGCAAAGAAGGAUGAGAUCAUGCAACGACUUUAGAAAACAACAAAUUCACAGAUUAUUAACUCUCCAAAGAUUGUUUAGGCUCAAGUCUCUCAGGGUUGAAGCGUUAGUUUGAGUUCCUUCCUUCAAGCAUGUUACAAAAACUGAUUUUUUUCCUUUGUGAUUACAUGUGAAUUCGUAAGUUAUAUCCACAACCAAGCAUAAACCAAAGAGCAUAUCAAACUUCCAUCCAUGUUUACAAUUCUCUUUAACAGUCAUGCAAUUAAAAACCGAAUCCUCAUCAUUGUGUUGGAAGGUACUCUAAGACACAAACAAACACACAAAAACGACUCUUUUUGGAUUUUUCAAAACAAGUUUUCAAAUUUUUAUGGGAUUUUCGGAUUUUUCAUGUUAAAACACUAAAAUGCUUCAAAACACACUAAAAACACUUAAAAACAGUGAAAAACAACCUCUGAAAUGUUAGGUGGUAAAAUCCUACGAAUUUUUCAAUAAAAACACUUGUUUACCCCCCCCACACUUAAACCAAACAUUGUCCUCAAUGUGUCAAACAUAGACUCACACAAAAACAAGCUAACAACACAACUAGCAAACAUGACAAAUAUGGAAAAAUAAAAGCAAUAAAGAGUAGGGUUUAGGAACGCAAAUCUGGUUGUGAUGCCGGAGCUUCCUGGGUCUUCUUUAUUCACAUGGGUUGCCUCCCACGAAGCGCUUGCUUUAACGUCUUCCAGCCGGACGAUGCCUCCAAUCAAGCUUGAAUAGUGCCCACGGCAUGGAGGGAGACUUCCUCCACGACCUUCUCCCCAAAAGUUGUGUAAUAUGGCUUCAAACGAUGUCCAUUGACUUUAAAUUCUUGUUGCGUCUUCAAACUUUGAAUUUGAACUGCACCAUGUGGAAAAACAUUAGUAACAAUAAAAGGACCAAUCCACUUAGAACGCAACUUACCUGGAAACAACCAAGGCGAGAAUUAAAAAGUAACACUUUCUGCCCGAUAGAGAAUGUCUUGCUACGUAUCAUCUUGUCAUGGAAUGCCUUCGUUUUCUCUUUGUAAAUGCGAGCAUUCUCGUAGGCUUCAUUCCUAACUUCCUCAAGCUCAUUCAAUUGAAGCUUUCUAUGGAGUCCUGCGGCAUCAAUGUCCAUAUUGAAAGUUUUGACGGCCCAAUGUGCUUUGUGCUCCAAUUCAACCUGAAGAUGGCAUGGUUUCCCAUAGACUAGCCGAAAUGGGGACAUUCCAAUUGGUGUUUUGUAGGCCGUACGAUACGCCCACAAUGCAUCAUUUAAGCGCAAGCUCCAAUCUUUCCGGUUCGGCCCUACGGUCUUCUCCAAAAUCUGCUUGAUUUCUCUAUUUGAAACCUCCGCUUGCCCACUUGUUUGAGGAUGAUAAGGUGUUGCCACCUUAUACGUGACAUUAUAUUUCUUGAGUAGCGCCUCAAUUGUUCUAUUGCAGAAAUGGGAGCCCCCAUCACUUAUAAGUAUCCGCGGCAUUCCAAACCUUGCAAAAAUGUUAGUCUUAACAAAAUCUGCAACCACUUUAAAAUCAUUAGUAUGGGUGGCUCUUGCUUCCACCCAUUUCGAAACAUAAUCAACCGCAAGUAGAAUAUAAACAAAACCAUGAGAUGAAGGAAAAGGACCCAUGAAAUCAAUGCCCCAAACAUCAAAAAUUUCAACAUUAAAAAUGGGGCUUUGCGGCAUUUGGUCUUUUGGUCCUAUAUUUCCAGUUCGUUGACAACGAUCACAUGCUAUGCAAAACGUUCUAGCAUCCUUAAAGAUAGUAGGCCAAUAAAAACCACAUUCAAGUACUUUACGUGCAGUCCUUUGAGUGCCAAAGUGACCUCCACAUGCAUAAGUGUGACAAAAGUUUAGAAUAGACUGAAUUUCAGAAUCAUGCACACACCUACGAAUGAUUUGAUCAGAGCAAUAUUUCCAUAAAUAAGGAUCAUCCCACACAUAAUUUCGUGCAUCAUACUUGAGUUUAUCACGUUGAUUUUUAUUUAACUCACUUGGAAUGACUUUAGACGCCAAAUAAUUAACUAAAUCUGCAUACCAUGGCACACUAACCUCAAUGGACAUCAAUUGCUCAUCCGGGAAUGUCUCUGGGAUAGGCACGACAUCUUCUUCAUGCACCAAACGGCUCAAGUGAUCAACCACGACGUUCUCACUUCCUUUCUUGUCUCGGAUUUCGAUAUCGAACUCUUGGAGAAGAAGGAUCCAUCGAAUAAGCCUUGGUUUAGCCUCCUUCUUCGUGAGCAAGUACUUCAACGCUGCAUGAUCAGUGUAAAUUAUUACUUUAGUACCAAGUAAAUAAGAACGAAACUUAUCUAAAGCAAAACAACAGCAAGAAGUUCUUUUUCCGUCGUGGAAUAAUUCAAUUGAGCGUCGUUCAAGGUCCGAGAGGCAUAAUAUAUGACGUGUGGCUGUUUGUCCUUCCUUUGUCCCAAAACAGGGCCUAGAGCAUAAUCGGACGCAUCGCACAUAAGCUCGAAGGGAAUGCUCCAAUCUGGUGGCCGAAUGAUGGGGGCCGAAGUUAGCAUCUCCUUGAGGUGUUUGAACGCCUUUUCACACUCCUCGUUGAAUUCGAAGGACACAUCCUUUUGGAGAAGUCGGCAUAGGGGUGUGGAAAUCUUUGAAAAAUCCUUGAUGAAUCGCCUAUAAAAUCCUGCAUGGCCCAGAAAAGAAUGAACCUUUCUAACCGAAGUUGGAGAGGGUAAGUAGCGUACAAGAUCUAUUUUCGAUUUAUCAACCUCAAUUCCCCUUUCAGACACGAUAUGCCCUAAAACGAUGCCUUGUUUUACCAUAAAGUGACACUUUUCCCAAUUUAAAACAAGGUUCAUUUCCACGCAUCGUUUUAAGAUUAAUGUGAGAUUUUCCAAGCAACCAUCAAACGAAUCACCAAAGACACUAAAAUCAUCCAUGAAUACCUCAAUAAUUUUCUCAAUAAAAUCUGAAAAGAUACUUACCAUGCAUCUUUGGAACGUGGCCGAUGCAUUGCAUAACCCGAAUGGCAUGCCCCGGUAAGCAAAAGUACCAAAUGGGCACGUGAAGGUGGUCUUUUCUUGGUCGUUCGGAGCUAUGACAAUUUGAUUGUAUCCCGAAUAACCGUCAAGAAAACAAUAAAAAGAAUGACCGGCUAACCUUUCUAGCAUUUGAUCGAUGAAUGGUAGUGGAAAGUGGUCUUUCCUUGUGGUGUUGUUGAGCUUCCUAUAGUCAAUGCACACUCUCCACCCUGUUUGAAUACGGGUUGGCACAAGCUCAUCCUCGGCAUUCUUCACCACAGUAACUCCGGACUUCUUUGGGACAACUUGAACUGGUGAGACCCAACGGCUAUCCGAAAUUGGAUAAAUCACUCCACAAUCGAAAAGCUUUAUAAUCUCAUUUUUCACAACUUCCAUCAUCGGAGGGUUGAGUCGGCGUUGAGCCUCUCGAGUUGGUUUAGCCCCCUCCUCUAGAAAUAUGCGAUGCAUGCAUGUUGUAGGGCUAAUCCCCUUAAUAUCGGCCAAUGUCCAUCCAAUGGCUGUUUUGUGCUCUUUUAACACCCGAAUCAACUUUGCCUCCUCUAAUACCGUGAAUGAUGAGGAGACAAUGAUGGGCAACGUCUCUUCAUCUCCCAAAAAUACAUACUUUAAAUGAUCUGGCAAUGGUUUAAGCUCAAGAACGGGGGCCUGAAUCACAGAAGGUAACAACGUAUUAGUGGAAACGGGAAUUGGAAUUGGGUUAGAAGGCUUACCACGAUGUUGUGGCAAUGAUUCAAAGGCCGCCACAAGCUCGGCAUGUUCUUCCUUAGGUACGGCCAGAUUGGGUGGCAUUCCAAUUCCUUGUGCAAUUGUUGUUUCAAGGGGAUCGUCUUCCAACAUAUCAAGAUAAUCCUGCGCCAAUUCAUCCAAUAUAUCAAUAGAAAAGCAAGAAUGAUCAUCUUUAGGAAAUUUCAUAGCUUUAGAAAUGUUAAAAUUAAUAAUCUCCCCAUCAAAUUCCAUUGUUAACGUCCCCUUGAACACAUCGAUCUUGGUGCGUACUGUUUUCAGGAAGGGCCUCCCAAGUAAAAUCGGCAAUGGGGUGACAUUUGGUGAGUCCUCCAUCUCUAAAACGUAGAAAUCCGCUGGGAAUAUCAAGUUAUCCACCUGCACCAACACAUCUUCCAAAACUCCUUUCGGAUAUGCAUUAGAACGAUCGGCUAAUUGAAUUAUAACACCAUCGUUUUUAAGCUCUCCUAAGUUCAUAGAUGCAUAUAUUGAGUAUAGCAUGACAUUAAUUGAAGCUCCUAGAUCUAACAUGGCAUGUUCAAACUUAGUAUUGCCUAUAACACAUGGAAUUGUAAAACUCCCCGGAUCUUUGCAUUUAGGGGGUAAUUUUCUUUGUAAAACAGCGGAAACAUUCUCACUUACCUGGACAACCUCUUUGUUUGAAAUUCUCCUUUUUGUUGUACAUAGUUCCUUCAAAAACUUGGCGUACCUAGGUACUUGCUUAAUUGCAUCAAGAAGAGGUAUAUUGACUUGCACUUUCCGAAAUGUCUCCAAAAUGUCUUUCUCGUUCUCCUCCUUCUUGGAUUGCCUCAACCUGCUAGGAAAAGGCAUGUUUAGUGGAAUAGAACUAGGAGAAUUCGGUUUUGCACUUACCUUGGUCGAAUUAGAUGGGUUGGAAGGGCAAGAUGGCUGCGGCAAAGGUUGUUCCAUCCUUGCCGUGGGUGUGGCUUGUGUUUCCUCCUCAAACUGCAACUUUUCAUCCUCUUCAUGACUUGAUUUGGAUGCUCGGGGUUCAGUUCCAACUUGUUUGCCACUCCUUAAUGUGAUUGCUUUGGCGGUUUCGAAUCCCCCAUUUGGAUUUGCAACGGUUGAACUAGGGAGUCUUCAUUGGUCUCGAAAUUGUCCCAUAAAUUCGGCAAUCUGCCCCACUUGCUUCUCCAACUCGUCCACCUUCUUGUCCCUAGUUUGCAUGCCCUGCGCCAUAGAAGUUAGUAAAUUAAAAUUUUGAUCAUUAUCAAUAGAAGAACCUGAUUUUUGGGCGGGCUGUGCUUGGGGUUGAUUUGAUGCAAACGGCUUUUGAUAGAAACCCGGGGGUUGUCGCCUAAACGUGCUUUGUUGUUGGCCUUGUUGAGGUUCUCGCCAUUUUAAAUUUGGGUGAUCACGCCAACCGGGAUUGUAGGUAUUAGAAAAGGGGUCAUUCCUUUGUUGGUAUUGGUUGCCAAAUCCCACGGCAUUGAGGGUCUCCCACCCUCCAUUCUCUAUUAAUUGUGGGCACUUGUCUGUAGGGUGUCCUUGCAUGGAGCAUACGCUACAAGCUGCCACGGUUUGCACUUUUGGACCUUCCACCACCUGAGAAAGCAAAGUAGUAAGGUUAGCCAUUUGAUUUUGAAGUUCGGUUAUGGCACUUACCUCAUUCAUUUGGUGUUGCCGUGGGUUGCUCCUUUGUCCAACACCUUCGUAUUGUUGAGCAUUUAAUGCUCGAUUGGCAAUCAAUGUCUUUGCUACCGUGGGGGUCUUGUCCACCAAGGCUCCUCCCGCCGAGGCAUCUAGCAUUUGACGUUCGAUUGGUAAAAGCCCCUCGUAGAAGUAUUGUAGAAGAAGCUCCUCCUUCAUUUGAUGUUGUGGACAAGAAGCAACAAGAGAUUUAAAACGUUCAUAAUAAGUAGGAAAAGAUUCACCUUCCUCUUGUUGAAUUCCACUUAUCCUUUUUCGUAGAAGGAUGACUCGCGAAGUUGGAAAAAACUUCUCCAAGAAUGCCCGUUUCAUGCUCUCCCAAGAUGUGACUGUUCCGGGAGCCAAUUCAUAUAACCAAUCUUUCGCCUUUUCCAAGAGAGAAAAGGGAAAGGCCUUCAUCUUUAAUAUGCUCUCAUCGACGUUGAUUGGAGUCAUGCUUGAACAAACCACUUCGAACUCUUUCAAGUGCUUGUUAGGAUCCUCCAUGGACAACCCAUGGUACUUCGGAAUGUGGUGUAGCAAACUUGACUUCAACUCGAAUUCCUCGGUCUUUCCUUGGGCAGCUACGGGAUAUUGAAUACAUAGAGGUGCGGCAUUAUCCAAUCCCGAAGCCGAAAGCUCCUUAAUUGUACGAUUGUCUUGUGCCAUGGCUUCCUCCACUUCACCCACUCUUGCCGUGGGUUCCUCUUCCUCAAACUCAACUUCGGCCUCUGAGUUUGAACUUGAUUCACUAGGUUCUGGAUUCUUCCUUUUUCGUCUCAACUCUCGCUCAAAAUCGUCGUCGAAGUCCAAGAUGUGUUCACGAAUCGGAUGAGUAGUCCGAGUCAUAAACUAGUACCUAAAACAAGAAACAAAAACCACGUCAGAAUCUGGAAUUAAUUAAACAAACUAAAAUAAAACAAUCCAAGGGAUUAGCAACUUUGCUAAUCCCCGGCAACGGCGCCAAAAUUUGAUGUGAAAAUUAACUUGACACACAAAUUAAACCCUAUUGAUGACAAUUAUAGUAAUGAUGCAAGUAGGGAUCGUUCUAGACCGGGGAUUAACUAGGGAUGCUAAUCAACACAUAAGACUCAAAAACACUAAACUAGACUCUAUAGACUCAAAACUAACUCAAAACACUCAAAACAACAAAUAACAACCAAAAAGACUCAAUUCUAGACCUAACAAGUGAUUUGGACGAAAAUAGGACUUCAAAGACUCAAAAAGACUUAAAAGAAACAAGUUUUGACUCUAAAAACAAGACUUAAAAGUAAGGGGAUUGGUUUUGACGAAAUUGAACUUUUAAAACAUAAACUUUGUAAACAAACUUAAAGACUCACGAAAUUGAUGAAAUAGAAUGGUGAAAGGCUAGUUAGAGGGUUUCUUCUCCACACAUGAAACAUAUGCAUACGACUCGAUUUCCAGUUACUCUUUCAACAAACCAUGAAUGACAAUGCCCCAAAUUAACUAGAUUGCACCAAUUAAUUCUCAGAUUUCCCUAGAUUCAUUGAAUUGAAUGGAAUACGCAUUACAACCAAAUUAUUCUUAUCAAGGACCCCAACUAUGGAAUACGCAUGAUAGAGACACAUAUCAAAGAUCAUUAAGUUCAAUGGAAAUCAUAAGCAUUGACGAGGCAUUCAUAACUAUGGGAUACGCAUGUUACUCUUGCCAAGGAUUUACUUAACACAAUCGUGACUAGCGACUUUUACUACUUAUGAAUAUAAGUUAAUAACAAUUAGGUGAAAUUCCCUUACACUCUAGCAUCAAAUUCAUGCAUGCAACUUAAGUGUCGACCCUCAAUCAACAUACAUAAACAUGUUAUCAAUCAAAUAGAUAAGUAAACCACAUUCACGACUUAUGAAAUCAUAACUGGAGGAAAUCAAGUCAUAUAAAACAUAUGAUCAUGGCUUUGAAUUCCCCUCUAACUAUAAAGAAAUUAGUUCCUCAUGUUCGCAAAUAAACAAAGAUAAAUAAAUAUAAACAUUGACAUAAAGAUAGAAAACACCUAGAAACGCUCCAACAAUCCAAGCUCCUUGAAUGGCAUGCACGGCUCCAAGAGUCUCCUUCUUUCUCCUUUUCAAAGUCACGGCACACAAGGGAUGAUUGGGUGAAUGAUGUAGUGAAAAUCUGGUAGAGGGUGGUGAAUGAAUGGUGCGGCAUAAGGUUGUAUUUAUAGGCUGAAAAUCCCAACUCCUAGGUAGCAAAGGACAAGGUUUUAAAGGUCUAAUCUGCAUAGGACAAUAACAUACAAUCCUAUAAGGAAAACAAGUCAGAAAUCCAAAGGGAAUGGGAGAUAAGGUGCGGCACAAAACUAGCAGAUGAUAAGGCUUCUAGAAAUCUGAAAUCCCAAGGGAAAUAGGACAUAGGGUGCGGCAUAAAGGGUUGUUUCUAGAAAGAAAUACAAGGCAGAUUUUUAGGCUUCUAGAAAGGUUCUAGGCGCCAUCUUUGUAGGAAAGGAUUAGGUUUUCUAGAAAUCUGAUUUUAAGCAUCCUAAUAUAGCUAGGAAUCCUCCCAAGUAGCUGAAAUAUAGAUGGAUUAGGAUUAGGAUAAGAUAGGAUAGGAUUGGAUAGGAUAGGAUAGGAUUGGGUAGGAUAGGGUUUGGAUAAUGUUUUGGAUAAGGUUUCUUCACUUGAGCUGAUUCUUUGGCUUUAACUUCCCUUCUUCAAGUGGGAAACCUUGUUUGAGUAGGAAACUUCAAUCUUCUAGGAAUCCAACUUCACUUAGGAAUCCUUCUUCAACUAGGAAUCCAUGUUUGACUAGGAUUUCAUCUUCAAUUAAGCACUUUCCCACUUCAAUUAGGAAACUUUGCAUCUUCAAGUCUUCAACUUUGAAACACAUUCCUAGCUCUUCAUUCCUUCAAAUUCGUCCAUUCAUUGUGCUCCACAUGCAUGAGUUCCAUUCUAGCUCAAUUUUGCUCCAAAAUGCUCGAAAUUGCAUCCUUUUGCUUACUUUGUCCUUAAAACCUGAAAACACAUGAAAAUAGCUUAAAAGACUAACUUAACUAAGAAAACACAACAUAAAUGCAUAAAAACUAACUAACUAAGGCGCAUAAGUAUGCUCCUAUCACCACCUCUUCUCAUUAGCUUGGGUAACCAUGAUAUGCUGCUAGGUGUCACUCAUGGUUUGUGGAAGCCCUAAACGUGUAUAAUAAUCACUAAAGGGAGAAUUGAAAGUAAGUUUCAAUUCACAAUCGAUUUGAAAGAGUUUUAAUCGCCCACUGCCUCGCUAAAAGGAACCUAAUGGAUCGUACACCGUGUAAGGUGGAGAUUGAAGAAACAAUGGAGAUGAGUAAGAAUAAUUAAAAGGUUUAAUUAUUUAUGGCAAGGAUUAAUUAAUAUGUUAAUUAAUCAAAUGAAUAAGUUCGUUAAAGACCUCGGGAUAGUUUUGGACCUUAAGGCCCAAUGGGCUUCGAACGUCAAGCCCAUUGACUUAAGUUGUAUGACAAUUUAAUGAAUAAAGAUUCACAAAGGCCCAAAAGCCCAAAUCCCUAAUGUGGUCGGCCAUAUGUGUUGAAUUAGGGUUUUUUGGUUCUUUAGGUUAUUUAUAGAAGUGACUAUAUAAAGAACUUUAUAGCCUAAAAUUCAUUAAGGGUUCUUUUGGAGAAAAUUGGUGAGAACUUGUCUCUCCUUUUCUCUCUAGGAGGCCGGCCCCCUUGGAGGGUGGAUCUAGCAAUCCCACUACUCCAAGGUCACUCAUUCCUUCUCCAAUCUCUCCUUGGUGUGGAGACUUAGAGGUUCUCAAUUUUGGGAACUUGGAGAAACCUUUUCACCCAUCCAAAUCCAUAGAUUUUAGAUGCAAGGAAUGAAGGCCCUCUCCUUGGGUGAUUAGCCUUUGCUUAUGCAAAGAGGAAUCUACGAAGGUAUAAAUUUCUUAACUCACUUUGAUUUGAGUUGAGUCUUGGUUCACCAAUCUACUAGGCUUUGAAUUUCAUGGUUAAUGUUUUGUUUUUGAAUGCAUGCAAGCAUGAUUCCGCCUUUUAAUUGUUAAAUGCAUGCUAUAGAUGUUAUUCAAAUGAACAUGUUUUCACAAAAUAAUCCUUCACAAGGGUCACAAUGACUUGUUCUCAAACGAACGAUUGAACGAUUGCUUCAAGUUUUGAGCUUGAAACAAUGCGUGGAUAGUCUUUACCUCUAGGUUUAUCUAUGACCUGCGGUAAAGGUGAUGUUGAUGUGGGAUUUUGUUGAUGACACACCCCAACCCGGAAUGUCCACUAGGACUCGGAAUCGAGCUGUGUUGGCCAACACCUGGAAAGUGAUGAAGCCAUAAAGUGUGAUGAUGUGGAAAAAAUGUAAAUAGAUUUAAACAUAAGAGUGCUUAAAUACCAGAGUGCACUGGUGAGCGGGAAUGAACCCACUUCACGCGUGACGUUGAAGCAUAAGCAAGUACAUAAGAGUGAAUUAAGAAUCAUACCUUUGAAACAAUCUCCAAUACUAAGAAUCGCCACAAAUGUUCGACGAUAAGAAAGCUCAGCUAAUAAAACCUGGAGGGUGAAGACAAGACAAGGGUGAGUGGCCCUGUAAAUAAAAUUUUAAUAAAAAUCAUAGAAAACAUUAUAUCCUCUCGCUACAACACCUGUGUAGUUUCCAGAAAAAUCAUAAAUAUAUUACAACACAGCAUCUCGUCAGCAAUAUCAAAUAAUCGUGUGAUUAAUAACUCAUACUAGUACGCAAAUCGAAGUCACCUACGGUGACCUAUACGACUUACCCAUAUCUCAUCACAUAUACUAGUUCAACACAUAUUUCAUCACAUAUGCUAGCUUAUCACAUAUUCAUCACAUAUGCUAGCUCAUCACAUAUUCAUCACAUAUGCUAGCUCAUAAGUCGGAGUCACCUCUAGUGACCUAUACGACUUAUCCAUAGCUCAAUAAGUAUACCUGCACAUGAGUCGGAACCACUUGAAGUGGUCUGUACGACAGGACUGGGUGUAAAUAAAUACGCUCAAGUCCUACGAUCACGCAAAGACUGUAUGAAUAAUCAUGGGUCACCUACUAGUCUUAACCACCUAAAGUGGUAUGUAUGACAGGACUAUGCACCUACCUUGGAUCCGAGGUGAGCAUAAGGUGCAAGAGGUGAACAUCAUGUGAAGGACUGUGCCCUGGCCACGAGCGGGAGCACUAACACCAAGGUGCAGGUUUAUGAGCUCUCAAUGUAUCUCAACAUAACAUGUACGACUCAUGGGUAACCCGUACGACAGUGUCAGAGUUGCUUAAAACAUGCAUGUAGUCAUGCCAUAACUCCAUCAUUUCAACUAAUACCAUAAACUUACCUAAACUUACCUGAGUGUCCUGCGUUCACCUUGGCAUCUCAAGCAUUCACAAUAAUUAUGUGCAAAUAAUAUACAUAUAGGUAAACUAUGAUGCAAUCUGAUACUUAAACAUGUCAUAGCAUUAUCAAUUAUAUACAUCCACACACACACACACACACACACACACACACACACACACACAUAUAUAUAUAUAUAUAAUAUGGCAUAAAAUGUAUAAGCUGUAAUGCCCUACUUUCGAACUAUUUAUUUUCGGAAAUAAUUAUUGGUGAUAAGCCCACCUAGACACUAGUUUAAUUAACUAUCAUCACUUACGUUUCUUUACUUCAAAUUCUUGAUUCUUCACACAUUGAUUUAUGACCAACAAUUAAUUGUUGGAAAUGUGCCCUAAAGCCAAUCAUAUGAUGAUACUUUACGGACAUUUCACAUGUUAAACUAAUCUAGUUUAAAUAUAAAGGGAAAAUAUUACUGUUUGAGCCGUCUCAUAUAAAUGUUAUAUGCUUAAACGAUAAAGUCCAAGGAAUAUGUGAUUGGGAGAAUACGAUCUAAAGAAGUUAGAUUCAUGAGACCAUUCUUUCGUAGACACAUCCUAAACGUUCCUGAUCAUAGGAUUGCCAAUUGGGCAUUGACAGUCCAUUAAGAUCAGUACGUGCUGUGUCUUCUCUCAGGGAGAGUGACUAGUCUCGAGUCAUUGGUGUGUGUGACAUCAAGACAGGUACGUAGGUGCUCAGUAGAGAAUAAGUUCACUGAACACGAUCAACGAAGAGUUCUCAUAUUCAUGUCACAUGAGAACUCAUGGUUGGGAUAAUGCAAAGUAGUCCUUUGACCUGAGGCAUCACAGCUGUCUUAUGGUUAAGUCCUUGAUCUUUGAUUAUGUCAAAGUCACCCCAUCCGCGGGUGUCCACGGCAUCGUUGGGGUUAAGUCACUUAGCUAUGGAGGCAAGUGAAUGCGCAACAAGGGAUCUCUAACCUUCAAACCGUUUGAGGGAGAAUACUCUAUGAUAUGAUUUAGAACCUCUGGCCAGAGUAUGAAUGAGAUUUAGGAAGUCGUUCCAAAUCACAUUCAAGGUAAUCAUAUAAGCACACGAAUCACAUUGGAUAGUAGACAUGAAUAAAUAAACUAUCAAACCAAACAAUGUGGUCAAGAGUAUUAUUGGAGAAAGACCAUAUUGCAUUUGUAAUCCUAAACUGAAUAGGUUCUCUACCUCUUCUGAUUAGCUUGGGUAACCAUGAUAUGCUGCUAGGUGUCACUCAUGGUUUGUGGAAGCCCUAAACGUGUGUAAUCACUAAAGGGAGAAUUGAAAGUAAGUUUCAAUUCACAAUCGAUGUGAAAUGGUUUUAAUCGCCCACUGCCUCGCUAAAAGGAACCUAAUGGAUCGUACACCGUGUAAGGUGGAGAUUGAAGAAACAAUGGAGAUGAGUAAGAAUAAUUAAAUGGUUUAAUUAUUUAUGGCAAGGAUUAAUUAAUAUGUUAAUUAAUCAAACGAAUAAAGUUCGUUAAAAGACCACGGGUUAGUUUUGGGCCUCAAGGCCCAAUGGGCUUCGAACGUCAAGCCCAUUGACUUAAGUUGUAUGACAACUUAAUUCACAAAGGCCCAAAAGCCCAAUAAAACCCUUAUGGCCGGCCAUGUUAGAGAGAAUGGCCUUUUGGUUCUUUAGGUCACUUAUUUGAAGUGACUAUAUAAAGGACUUUAUAGCCUAAAAUUUAUAAUGGGUUUCUUUUAGAGAAAAUUGUUGAGAACUUGUCUCUCCUUUUCUCUCUAGGAGGCCAGCCCCCUUGGAGGUUGCAUCUAGCAAUCCCACUACUCCAAGGUCACUCAUUUCUUCUCCAAUCUUACCUUGGUGUGGAGACUUAAACGUUCUCAAUUUUGGGAACUUGGAGAAACCUAUUCUUCCAUCCAAAUCCAUAGAUUUAAGAUGCAAGGAAUGAAGGCCCUCUCUUUGGGUGAUUAGCCUUCGCUUAUGCAAAGAGGAAUCUACAAAGGUAUAAUUUCUCAACUCACUUUGAUUUGAGUUGAGUCUUGGUUCACCAAUCUACUAGGCUUUGAAUUUCAUGGGUAAUGUUUUGUUUUUGAAUGCAUGCAAGCAUGAUUCCGCCUUUUAAUUGUUAAAUGCAUGCUAUAGAUGUUAUUCAAAUGAACAUGUUUUCACAAAAUCAUCCUUCAUUAAUCAUCAAGUAGUAAGAUUAACUCUCACACUUUCCACCAAUGUCCCUCACAUUACUCAAUUCCCUAACAAGACUAUUGCCUCAAUUAUUUAGUCUCACUUCUUGUAUGGCUGCAUCUAACAUCUCGUUAGACUGCUUACGUACCCUAAACAAGGAUCAAGCCAUUCGUAGUUCAUGAUAGUUUUUCAAAGCAUUCACAAUAAUCAUAAGCAAUAAUCAAUUUAUAAACAUUUAUGGAAUUGUCAAUCAUAUAUAUAUAUAUAUAUAUGAUAGAAUGGAAAAGAUCCACUCACCUGAGGUCCGUGCUACGAUUCCCUAGCACGCAUAUUGAGACAUCACGAACCAUUGUCGCCUAUGACCAAUUAUCAAAUCACAUCUCAGAGUUCUGACCGAUAAAAUACAUAAUUUACAUAAAAUGCAUCCCUACAUAAUUGAAUUCGGAAGAUCUGCAUCAUGGAUUUCCGAUCCGUUGCUUCCAAAGAUCCACAUUAUACUUCUAGAACAACAUCCUAAGGUUUCAUUACGAUCCAACUGACACACCCCGUCCCGAACGAGGGUAUGCUAGCUGUCACGUGAGAGUGACGUAACCAUUUACACAGUUCGAAAGCUUUAAAAAUACAAUUACUAAGAUGAAACACCCGAGGGUGAGUCUUACUUUUGUGAAUUCUGUCAGAACACCGUUGUAUUCCUCGUGGCCACCAAAGCUCUGCUAUCUAGAACCUGGAGGGGCGCAAAACAAAAUUGAGUGGGUCAGUAAAACAAAGUUUUUUGAAAACAUUUCAUUUAAAACAUUUCUAACCCCUCACUGUAAAACCUGUAUACUUUCCCAGAAAAUAACAUAAUAGGAUAUACCUUCAAAUAUCUCAAAUCAUCAAUCUUUAUCAAAACGAGAAAGUAUGCCAUGCCAUAAAUGUCAAUAACAGAUUAAGAAUGCAUUAAUAUAACGGGUGAAAUAAGGAAUCAACCGUACAGGGCAAAUUGUCACAUCCCAACCCGGGGCGGACCACUUCCAGGGCCCGCUCCACUACCGUAGCAUGAUAUUAUCCGCUUUGAGCCUACCAUACCCUCACGGUUUUGUUUUUGGGAACUCACAAGCAACUUCCCAGUGGGUCACCCCAUCCUAGGAGUGCUCUGGCCUCCUUCUCGCUUAACUUCGAAGUUCCUACGUAACCUGAAGCCAGUGAGCUCCCAAAAGGCCUCAUGCUAGGCAGGGAUGGGAAUAUACAUUUAAGGAUCACUCCCCUGGGCGAUGUGGGAUGUUACACCAACGGUCAGAUCUCCACCAAUUGCCAAAAUCAAGUGGCGGUCAACAUUUUAUUUUAUGAACUUACAAAUCCAAUUCGGGAAGAUCUGUAUGUCGGAUUCCCGAUCCGUAAGUUUCUAUGGUCCUCAAAUAUUACCUACUAUAACAUACUAAAGUAAGGUGACGAUCCAACGGUCGGAUCGUUGAUUCAUAUAAUGACCUAUUAACGUAACCUAGAGAAUUUAGAUUCUAACAAUCAACCUACGUCAUACAAUUACCAAAAUUGAACUUAAAGCAUCUAAUUAGCCUAAGAAUAACAUCGACGACCCCUGGCCACGUGCUGCUCCGACUUUCCGAAAAAUCCAACUAUUUUAAAAAAUUAUCAAAAUUUAUAGGAAUGAAGAUCUCAAUGAGUAGAGUAAACUUUAUACCUGUGGCAAAGUCCAAUUUGGCUGGGAAAAGCUCCAAUUUUGCUCAAACCCGCCAGAACCCUAAAAAAUGAUGUGCUUCAAUUCGACCUCCAUACUCACUCCGACGCCUCUACCAUCACUUGGGCUUUGUUCAUGAGGUUGAGGGGAGCCUAUUGGUAGUGACAAUUAGCUGAGUUAGCUUCACGAUUUAUGGAUUGCCAUCGAACACCCACACGCACCACCGGUGCAUUUCUCCCGAAUCAAAGGCCAAAUUGCAUGAAUUUAGGGGUAUAAAUGGUAGAGAGAAGACUAGGGAGGUGUUUCCAGAUGAUUGUUUGGCUUAAUUCACCGGAAUUUGGCCGAGAAACCAUCGGUUUGUAUGGUUCCCGUUGGCCGGGUCAUACGGGUCAAGGAAGACCUGUUUUGGGUUCCGUCCUUUUCUUCUUCUCUCCUUUCCCUCCUGGUUCUUCUCUCCCAUUCGUCACUCUCCCUCUCUCCUCAUUUCUGAUUGGGCAGUGCCUAUCUCCUUAUUCUCCCUCUCUUUCGCUGCCAUCAGGCAACCAUCCCCCUUCCUCUUUCUUAUUUUUUUUUAUUAAUCUCCCCCAACCCAUUACAUAAAAAAAAUAAUAAGAAAUGAAUAAGAUAAUAAAUAACAAUCCUUACCAAUGUACUUUUGGAAUACGGUAAGGUAUUAGUUCAUACGCAUCAUGAACUAACGAUCAACGAAAAUCAAUACCCUCGCCUCUAGGGUAUUCUCGUAAAUUUCACAUUUUAAGAUUUAUAAAAUAAUAAAAUUUGGGACGGGUUGUCACAGUUGAUUCAAGGGAAUGCUUCGGCUUUGGUCGAAAGAAAGCUUUGACUUCGGUUGUACGUUCUUCGAAGAGAGCUUUGGCAGCAUAUUAGCCUUCAAAGAUUUGGCAGAAGUUCUCCUUUUGUAAGAAUUUCGACCCUUCAAUGUAGAAAUUAUCGACCUUUAUGCUUGUCUAAGGACCUUGUAUUUAUAGACUUCUUAAAGCUUGCCUUUGGAUGGAUUUAGCUUUGAUUUGUGUCUUGAUUCGUCCACGGGAGAAUUUAGGCAUAUUUUGUGUCUUAAUUUCAGCCACUUUCCCUUGCUUGGGGCUUUUUUGCCUAUUUUGCAAGCAAUCUUCAAUUCUUGCUUGUUUUGUGAAGAUGCUUUAGCUUUCUUUCCGGUUUUGGGAGAAAUUUGGGCCGCUUGCCAAUUUUAAGGAGAUUUCUUCCCCUUUGCCGCAUUUUAGGAAUGCUUUUGAGCUUCCUUUGCUUGAUUUGUGCCACAUGUCAUUGAUGACUUGUCCAUUUGCCAUGAGUCAUAUGUCAUGAAGCAUUCUGAUACAUUAUCUACAUGCAACGAAAUUUACAUGUCUACAAUUUUUAUUUGCACGUUAGGUCUUGGUUCGAUUUUCCCACUGACCUCAGGUUCGGGGCGUGACAAAAGAGUUUAGGAUUUACUAAAUAUGGAACCAUCUGGUUGCAUUAAUUUAAUCCUCAAAAAAUAGGAUUUAAUUGAGUAUUUGGGAGUCAAACAAUUUAAGCCAAAAUAUCAAAAGAGAGCAUAUCAAUUUUAUUUCAUUCCAGAGGAAGUGCAUAUUUUACCCAAGUCUUCUUCCAUGAUGGUAGGAACAAUAGUAUUAUUGGGAUAGAUACACGAAUGACUUUAAAUAUAAGAAGCCGAAUAGGCGGAUUGGUUCGAAGGGAGAAAAAAAAAACGACUGAACUAAAAAUAUUUUCUAUUUUCAAAAUUUAUAAAUUAUGAAAAUGUGAAGGAUUAUUUUGUGAAAACAUGUUCAUUUGAAUAACAUCUAUAGCAUGCAUUUAACAAAUUAAAGGCGGAAUCAUGCUAGCAUGCAUUAAAAAACAAAACAUUACCCAUGAAAUUCAAAGCCUAGUAGAUUAGUGAACCAAAACUCAACUCAAAACAAAGUGAGUGGAAAUCAUACCUUUGUAGAUUCCUUUUUGCAUAAGCAAAGGCUAAUCACCCAUAGAGAGGGCCUUCAUUCCUUGCAUCUAAAAUCUAUGGAUUUGGAUGGAUGAAAAGGUUUCUCCAAGUUCCCAAAAUUGAGAACCUCUAAGUAUCUUCACCAAGGUUAGAUUGGAGAAGAAAUGAGUGACCUUGGAGUAGUAGUAUGGCUAGAUACCCCUUCCAAGGGGCCGGCCUCUUUAGAGAGAAAAUGAGAGACAAGUUCUCACCAAUUUUCUCCAAAAGAAACCCUAAUGAAUUUUGGCUAUAAAGUCAUAUUUAUACCUUUAUUCAUUUGAGUGGCAAACUUGUAAUUAAAGCAAGUUCACUACCCUUCCUCUAAAUGGCCGGCCAUAGGGUUUUGUUUGGGCUUUUGGGCCUUUGUGAAUUAAGUUGUCAUACAACUUAAGUCAAUGGACUUGACGUUCGAAGCCCAUUGGGCCUUGAGGCCCAAAACUAUCCCGAGGUCUUUAACGAACUUAUUCGUUUGAUUAAUUAACAUAUUAAUUAAUCCUUGCCAUAAAUAAUUAAACCAUUUAAUUAUUCUUACUCAUCUCCAUUGUUUCUUCAAUCUCCACCUUACACGGUGUACGAUCCAUUAGGUUCCUUUUAGCGAGGCAGUGGGCGAUUAAACCAUUUUACAUCGAUUGUGAAUUGAAACUUACUUUCAAUUCUCCCUUUAGUGAUUACACACGUUUAGGGCUUCCACAAACCAUGAGUGACACCUAGCAGCAUAUCAUGGUUACCCAAGCUAAUCAGAAGAGGUGGAGAACCUAUUCAGUUUAGGAUUACAAAUGCAAUACGGUAUUUCUCUAAUCUAAUACUCUUGACCACAUUGUUUGGUUUGAUAGUUUAUUUAUUCAUGUCUACUAUCCAAUGUGAUUCGUGUGCUUAUAUGAUUACCUUGAAUGUGAUUUGGAACGCUUUCCUAAAUCUCAUUCAUACUCUGGCCAGAGGUUCUAAAUCAUAUCAUAGAGUAUUCUCCCUCAAACGAUUUGAAGGUUAGAGAUCCCUUGUUGCGCAUUCACUUGUCUCCAUGACUAAGUGGCUUAACCUCAACGAUGCCGUGGACACCCCGAUGGGGUGACUUUGACAUAAUCAAAGAUCAAGGACUUAACCACAAGACAACUGUGAUGCCUCAGGUCAAAGGACUACUUUGCAUCCCAACCAUGAGUUCUCAUGUGACAUGAAUAUGAGAACUCUUCAUUAAUCGUGUUCAGUGAACUCAUUCUCUAUUGAGCACCUACGUACUUGUCUUGAUGUCACACACACCAAUGACUCGAGACUAGUCACUCUCCCUGAGAGAAGACACAUCACGUACUGAUCUUAACGGACUGUCAAUGCCCAAUUGGCAAUCCUAUGAUCAGGAACAUUUAGGAUGUGUCUAUGAAAGAAUGGUCUCAUGAAUCUAACUUCUUUAGAUUGCAUUCUCCCAAUCACAUAUUCCUUGGACUUAUUGUUUAAGCAUAUAACAUUUAUAUGAGACGACUUAAAACAAUAAUCUUUGCCCUUGAUAUUAAACUAGAUUAGUUUAACAUGUGAAAUGUCCGUAAAGUAUCAUCAUAUGAUUGGUUUUAGGGCACAUUUCCAACAAUCUCCCACUUGCACUAGAGCCAAUCAGCUUGGUCAUCAGUGAUGAUACCUCUUCUGUAGUCAUUUCAUAAAUGGCUGAGUAGUAGGCCUAGACAAUGGAUAUCUAUAUGUUAUCCAUAGAAGCAACCUUGAGAAUAACGACGUCACCAUUAUACAUGAUUCUCAAUCAUGUGGUUCAGUCUCUCAUAUGAGUUCGGACCUUGAUGAGACCUUGAUUCCCUGGCUUGAGCUAUCGCCCCAUUAGUGUCGUACACUUUCUGGUUGGAACUGAAUAGAGAGUUCAUAAAUGAACUUUCCCAUCCAAACAACAUUGUUGUAAACUUCUAUAUGGCAAUAUAUUUUGCAUUCAUAAUGGAACACACUAAAGUCAUUACUUUAAUGUUUCCAUCCAAAUAUCUCUUUAGUCAUAAUAAAGAGAUAUCUGUUUAUCUCUUCAUUCAUAAUGAAGAAACAUCCAAUGAUGGAUUAGAUUCACAAUCUAAUACAUUUACGCUUCCAUUACGUUACUCUAAUUCUUCCUCAUUCUUUGAGGAAUCUAUCCUUUAGUAUUUCUUAAAUACUUAAGGAUUCACUUGACAGUUGCCAUGGUUCUGAUCCUGGGCUUGCACUGAUAUCGUCUUGUACCGUUCUAGGUACAACUCAUAUCAAUGUCUUUCAUACAAUAUGAAAUACAUAAAUCACCUUUCCGCUUACGCAUAAAGGAUUAUAUUUACGCAUUUAUUUCUUUGGGAGUCAAAGGGUACGUUCCCUUUGAGAAGAGCAACAUCUUAGUCUCACUAAAGUUGUCCUCUUGAUUGAAGUUUAUCAUCAUAUGAGAAACUUCCUAGCAUCUCUUGUCUAUUAUUAGGGAUUGAUAUAAUCAAAUUAUAUCCUAAAAUCUAUCAUUAUAGAUUUCCAUCCCAUGUAUAUAGACUAUGUCUCCCAUAUACAUUCUAUCUUCAUAUAAUGUUUUAAAGUCAUAACUUUAACGAAGAAGUAUUAUUUUCAUUUCCAAAAUUAAUAUAUCAUAUAUAUUUAAAUUUUAGGAACAUGAUUAACUCCCAUAUACAUUCUAUCUUCAUAUAAUGUAUUAAAGUCAUAACUUUAACAAAGAAGUAUUCAUUUCAUUUCCAAAAUUAAUAUAUCAUAUAUAUUUUAAAUUUUAGGAACAUGAUUUAACUCCCACUAAUCUUUUGUAAACCUAGUAAACAAAAGAUUCAUUUACAUCUUUAUGAGAAAUCAAACGAUUUAAUCCUUUUUCUCAUAAGAUGCUUAUAGCUCCCACUAGCUUGCUAAGAUUCAUGAUGGAUGGAUCUCUACAACUUACAUGUCUUGUGAUUUAUAAUUUUAGACAUAUAUUAUCAAGACUAUCUUAACAAUGGUUUCGGAAACCCAUAUUAUGUCCAAAUAUUGAAUCACCAUUUAGUUGUAGCUAGCAAUCUUCGAAUUAAUCGAAACCAAGACUAUCUCAAAAAUGGUUUCUUCAAAGUCAACCAUUCUCUUUGAUUGUAGUCGCCUUAAGCUACCAAUUAGCUUAUGAAGGUUUCAUUAUUUCGGGUCAAAUGGUAUUUUAUCAUUUCCUUGAGUAUAUAUCAUAUAUACAUUCAAUGUAGUCAUAAGGAUUUUCAUUCUUAUUUCUUUCGAAUUAAGAGGUGCAACUCUAUGACUUAGUCAUAAAGUUCAAACCAUUCAACUGAGACGGUUUAUAAAUCCUUCUAGACUACCUUGGAGCUUGUGGUAUAGGAACUAGGUUGUUAUUUGUUGAUUAUUAUCUUGUCUCUCAAAGAACCCAUUCUUUGAGUUCUAUCUCUCGUUCAUUUGCGUUUAGGCAAAUCAUAUUGUAGGAUUACAAUGAACUACCCAACAAAACAACAUUUGUUAGUUGGUUUAUAGAAGCGAUAUCCAAAAGUUAAUUUAAGGAUAUCCCACAAGAAUGUUAUCAAACAAAUAUUGCUUAUAAGCACACAACCCCAAAUCUUAACAUGCUUAAGAUUUGUCUUUCUUUCCAACUACAUCUUAUGAAGUCAUGAAAAUUUUGGAAGAUCUUCUAAUUGACAAUCAUAUUGUUUUAGAAGUAUAUAUCCUAUAUAUGGGUAAUAGAUAACAUCUAACGAACUAAAUCUUAUUCAAGUUCGUUCUUCUCCUAAUGGAGAAAUUCAUUAUCUUAUGAUGCUUCUUUCCUUGAUAUCUUUCAAGGAAACUCAUCUAAAGUGUUACUUUUCCUUGGAUCAAAUCUAAGGAGGUAAAUACUUUAGACGUCUUACUCAUCAACUUACAUUUCUUGAAUUCUUUGAAACCUUUUGCAAAGUAUUCGGACUUGUGUUUAUUCAAAAUAAACUAUAGUCCAACCGAGAGUGAUCUUCGGUGAAUGUCAUACAACAUGAGUAGUAUUAUUUUGUGGACAAGUGCCACUAACAUCUAAGUGAAUUAACCUCAACAACUUUGUGAUUCUUUCUUCUUUCCAAAAGAAUAAAGAUUCGAACAUUUCGCCUCGAUACAACUUUAACAAGAAGGUAUUGGAUCCGGAUCUAACGAUCCAAAGCAUCCAUCUUUCACCAACUCGUAACUUAUGGUUUUAGAGGUAUCACAACUUAGUUGGGAUUAGUCACUACCUUGCAACCCUUUUGGGUUUUAAGCAUCAUUAUAUUCUAAACAGUUAACACUACCAUAUCAUCUCUACUAUAGAGACAAUCAAUUAGAUUACUAUAAUCCAAGCAUUGAUUAAUAAAGAACAAUGUUUUGUCAAACAAAACAUUCAUCCAUCUCUACUAUAGUAACGGAAUUAAAUUCCUUAAAAUUGGAAUGUAAAGACAAUCUUUGGUUUUUCCAAUUUCUUUGGUAGUUCAUAUGAGGAAGUAAGUACUAUCUGCUUUCAUAGAGAUCUAUAUUUUAUUCACGUUCCGAAUGUGAAGCACCUUUUUUUUUCUCUCAUAUAUCUUCUACUUCUUAUUAGUCACACUUUUACAACGAUUGUAAAACAUAGUUACUAAUACGAAAUCAAGCAUUCAAGUAGAAGAACCAACUGUUUUGAACUUUUUAAGAACAAUUUACAACACCUUCGAAAGGUGUGUUCUUGACACUUGCAAGACAUUUCUUGCAAAUACCCCUUCCAAUGUCCAUCCUUUCAUAAAGAAAGUUUGUUCCCUUGGAGUUAAUUCUUAUCUUCUUCAUUUGACUUUCACCGUUGACUACAUUAGUCAUGGUCCCUAAACUCCCACUAUCUCUCUUGAAACCUUUUUCAAUUGUGUUAUACACAUCAAACAAUUUUGGAGAGCGUGUGGAUAUUGGUCACUAUAUAGUUUACAAUAAACUUAGUGAACCAUUAGGAUAGGGAAACAAAGGUGAAGUCCUUGCCUAGUUUCCGUCUCGUUAAGUGGUUUAACACUUCAACACUCAAUGAUUCAAAAUCAUCAUAAGUCCAUGUUAAUGGACUAUUUUUGUCAACCAACCAUUAUGUUCUAAACAUAAUUACAAACUUUCAAGAGUUGUUCAAGGCAACUCUCAUUUCUUCAUACAACAAUUUGUAAGUGAAGAAUCAUGGCACAUAAAGUGUCCAUGCACUUGUGCUUUCUUCUAAAGUUCCUUGUUCAUGUAACAAAGAAACAAGCACUAAUGUUUGCAUUGACUAAGAGUUGUUCAAAGCAACUCUUAUUUCUUCAUACAACAAUAUGUAAUUGAAGAAUUAUGACAUUAAAAGUGUUGUCCUCUUUAUGAUAGACUUUUCUAACAUAUUCUUCUAAUGAUACAUUAUCAAUAGGAAGAUUGUGAGGAUGAGAUUACUUAGGUACAUUUACAAGCCAUUAAAGAAAAUCUAUGGUUUUGUAGUACCAAGUUCGGAAACUAAAGCUUUCGGCUUUUAUUUGUCAAGUGUUGGAUAACGUUUGCAAAUAUAUUGGUAAACAAAUACAUAACGAAUAUAAAUUGAUUGAUUUUAAGCCAUUUGAUUCGGGUCUUUAAAUCAAAUAGCACCACCCACUAUUUUUGGCAAAUUCCAUAUCCCUCAUUGGAAUUCGAGAGUUUUGGAGGAAACUCUUAGUAGGGUAUGGGAGACUCACUACUACCAAGCCCACCUCAGAAGAAAAAUCAUAUUGGCUAGCGUUAAUAAUAAUGAGAGAGUACGCUUACUCAUUUGCAUCUCUUGCAAGUACCCAUCUAGUUUGGCCUCUAGAGAAUAAUGCCUCAGAAGAAUAUCAUAUUGGCACAUUGCACUUAGUUAAGUCAUUCCCACCAUGCUAGUUCAAGUAGGGGUUCAAGGAUGGCCUCAGAAGAAUAUCAUAUUGACCACACUCGUUGCCUACCUUUCACUUCAUCAUAUGUAUAUAGGCUUCUCCUGAAUGUAAGCACAUACUUUGCAACCCCAGAAUUCGACGAAUACGGUGUAUGAGUCACAAACGAUUGAAGCCCACCACGAUGGAAGGCCACGAAAGAGUGUUCAAAGCACUCUCACGCUUAUCAGCUUAAUAAUGGUUUGGUUGAGGGUUUUAGGUCUCAUCACAUAUAAACAUUCAUUUUAAUCUAAUUAAAACUAUUUGGUCCUAUUACAACUAUUGGUCCAUUUGAUUGUUUUUAGUUGUAUAUAAUACUCCCACUAUGCUUAUAAAACGGUUUUUAAAGCAAGAGUAUAUGAUACUACUAACAUAACCUUUGCAUUCAUUUGAUGGACUAUAUAGUUGCCUUAGGGCCUUAGGAUGACUAUGAACCUUUGUUUAGAUUCAACACGAGCCUAGUGUUGAAUCUCGGUCUAGGGAUGGUGAUUGAUUUUAGUUACGCGUUUAAUCACAUUAAGGCGUGUUGUCUUAGGGGCGUUGGACCCAACUACUUCAUUUUCAUGCAUAUCAUAAUAAAGCAAGAAAGAAGUACUUCAAAGUAAAGGUGAGCUUAUGCUCAUUACAACAUUUGCAUAAAACAAAUUACCUUAAAGUAAAGAAGGGCUUAUGCCCUUUUACAACAUUUGAUCAAAUCAAAUUACAACCAAAAUCUAAUCUACACAUUCCCAUGGUUCAAACAAAUUUGAAACGGCCUUUCACAUAGCUCAAUUAUAUUAUGCUUAGGUUCAUAAUCAUCCUUUAAUUAAUUAACGCUUUAACUAAUUAAAUUGAAUGCAACAUUUUCAUUUGGUUUUUGUAUCCAUAAAAUUGAUUUAAAUGGAGCUAAAUGAAAUGAAAAUCCAAUUCUCAUUUAAAGAGACAAAACAAUUUUGUUCUCAACCUAAUUUGGGCCAAUAUGCAAUAACCACAACUUAUUUGGGCCAUAAAGCAAUUAACCUCAACUUUUGGGCUAUAUUGCAAAACUUUUGGGAUCACUUUGUAAAGACACAAAAGUCCACUACUUCAUGUAAUUACAACUAGAACCCAAAAUUUUAAUAAUGCAAAAACUUCAUUAAAGGAGCAAAACAAUUUGUCCUUUAGCGUUUUUGGACCUAAACGUAAAAACGUAAACUUUUGGACCAAAGUGCAAAUACACAAAAGUAUCAAAACUUUAUGUAAUUGCAUAAAAGCCCCAAAAGUACUCCCUUUGAGGAGUGGCCGGUUUUGGGAGAGGGAUUAGAGUGAUGUGUGUGUUGAUUUGUGAGUUUUGACAUAAAGCAUGCAAGUGGUGCAAGUGGUGUGUGUGAAAGGAAAUUAAUCCUUACACACCCACCAAUAUCUCUUACACCAUUUAAACAAAUAUCUAAAACAUUUAAACAUUUGAAAAUCAUAAAACAUAAACUUUAUGAAAUAAUUCAAAACUUUGAAUCAAAUCACCAAACUUUAUGUUCUUGGCAAAAAUGUCAAGAACAAUGAAGAACACUCAUGAAAAACCCAAAAUUUUUCCAUGAACAUUUUUCACCCAAAAACAUUCCAAAACCAUUCAAACUUAAGGGAAAUAACAUCUAAC